CCCUGGGAUGGUGCUCUGUGGCAUCUGAGAUGAGAAGAUCCUCGCCGCUUUUGGCCACCUGUCGGAGUAUCCAACAUGCUCUAAGGCUGUGUGUUGGUAUGGCAUCCGCUGUACUAUGAAUUUUGCAGGGUCCGUUGAGCCAUCCCUCCAAUACGGUUCCACGCCCUGUAGAGGGUUUUUGCUUCUUUGUAAUUAACUCGGGUGUCUUAUGAUAGUGCACCCUUUUACUUCGGACUGGGUGUAUAUUCGAAGCCGGAUUAUCCCAAAAUUUCAUUUCGGUUUUCCAGCCACUUCCCAUCGCACAGUACUUUCGUACUAUGGACGCCAAGUCGGCGAAGCGUGAUAUGUCACGGCGACUUAUGGCGUUAAGGAUUCCCUUGUCCGUCCAGUUAUUGCAGAAAAAUGAGACUGCGUCUUCCUCGCGGCAGUCCUUAACCUUGUUCAUCACAAGGAGGAAUCUGGCCCAGUAAUGAUGUACUGUUUCAUGGGGCUCUUGCCUGAUGUGGGAAAGAUUGUUUAUGUCUAGGUGGGUGGGUGGAUUUGAGUCCAAACCCCUACCCGAUCUGAGACCUAGGGGCCGAGGAGUUUCCAAUCUUGGAAGCUCGGAUUCCGGGAUGUUGCCCGAUAAGUCUGGCCCGCUGCCUGACUCUAGGUUUAGGGCUUGAGUGAUGUCCUCCCGUAAAUGGGUAUCUGGCUCGAAGAGCUCAGGAAUCCGGACAUAGUUAGUCCUCAAGAUAGAGGAAAAAUCGCUGCAUUGUUCCUCCACCACCGCAACAUGAUGGGUGACCGGUGGAGAGUUAAUCUCCCUUUGAUCGGGUUUAAGCCCAAUCCAAUCAUAGUCCGUAGCGACUCCCAAGGCGGCGAUGCGAUCCAAGAGCUCGUUUAGGGAAGAGAGCUCCAUUGGAUCCAUCUGCUUGGCGAAUUCCGAGCCGAUGUGGAGGCUGUUUUCGAUGACCCGAGAAGUCAUCGUCGAUGCUGCACACGAACGGGCGGUCAUGAUGAACCUUCCUAGCUGGAGAGUUUGGCCGACAGCCAGGGCUCCCCCGGCAGUAAUGUUGUUUUUAACAACGAGAUGAGGCAUCCUUCCUUACGGCGACGACACAGAGGAACUCUCAAUGAAAGCACAAAUGUCGGUGUCAAAACCGGCGGAUCUGGGUAGGGGUUCCCGAAAUGUGCGUCUAAGGCGGAUGGUAACAGGAGGCAGGGGACAUGAUGUUUUACCCAGGUUUGAGCCCUCUUUAUGGAGGUAAACCCUAUGUCCUGCUUGAUUAUUCUUGAUAAUAUGAGUAGUACAAGAGUUGAUCUACCACGAGAUCGGAGAGGCUAAACCCUAGAAGCUAGCCUAUGGUAUGAUUGUAUGUUGUCCUACGGACUAGAACCCUCCGGUUUAUAUAGACACCGGAGGGGGCUAGGGUUACACAAGGUCGGUUACAAAGGAGGAGAUAUACAUAUCCGUAUUGCCUAGCUUGCCUUCCACGCCAAGUAGAGUCCCAUCUGGACACGGGACGAAGUCUUCAAUCUUGUAUCUUCAUAGUUCAAUAGUUCGGCCAAAGGAUAUAAUCCGGCUGUCCAGAUACCCCCUAAUCCAGGACUCCCUCACUCCUGAUGAGAGGAUCGAUGGUGAUGACGAUGGUGAUGAUUUCCCCCUCCCGGAGGGAUGUUUCCCCGGCAGAACAGCUCCGCUGGAGCCCUAGAUUGGUUUUGCCAAGGUUCCGCCUCGAGACGGUGGCGCUUCGUCCCCGAAAGCUUCCUCCUGAUUUUUUUCAGGGCGAAAGACUUCAUAUAGCAAAAGAUGGGCACCGAAGGCCUGCCAGGGGGCCCACGAGGCAGGCGGCGCGCCCAGGGGGAAGGGCGCGCCCCCCACCCUCGUGGACGGUGGGUGGCCCCCCUCUGGUGCUUUCUUCGCCCAAUAGUUUUUAUAUAUUUCAAAACCGACUUUCGUGGAGUUUUAGGACUUUUGGAGAUGUGCAGAAUAGGUCUCUAAUAUUUUCUCCUUUUCCCGCCCAGUACUCCAGCUGCCGGCAUUCUCCCUCUUCGUGUAAACAUUGUAAAAUAAGAGAGAAUAGGCAUAAGUAUUGUGACAUAAUGUGUAAUAACAGCCCAUAAUGCAAUAAAUAUCUAUAUAAAAGCAUGAUGCAAAAUGGAUGUAUCACCUAUACCAUGCCAAUGCUUUUCCCUUCAAAGGUAAAGGGAAAACCUUUUUCAUAAAUUCAUCCCUGGGUAAACCUGCAAGCUUGAACAAUCCACAAAUUUGUUCUACACAUAUCAAGUGCAUAUCAGAAUGCUUGGUUCCAUCUCCUGCAUAAGGAUUAGCUAGCAGUUGUUAUAUCAUACCCGAAGGAAUUUCAUAUUCAAUAUUUUCAGUAGGUGUAGUAGGUUGAGGGGUAGCUAAUUGUGGUUCUGGAUGAGGUGAAGAUACCUUGAACAAACCUCUCAAAGGAUUGUUUUCCAUAGUGACAAGUGACAAUAAAUUUCAGCACACUAUAUAAAUGUUUCCUUACCAAAUUCCACUUACCAAAAGCGCUUCACUCCCCGGCAACGAUGCCAGAAAAUAGCCUUGAUGACCCACAAGUAUAGGGGAUCAAUUGUAGCUCUUUUUGAUAAGUAAGAGUGUCGAACCCAACGAGGAGCGGAAGGAAAUGACAAGUGGUUUUCGGCAAGGUAAUGUCUGCAAGUGCUGAAAUUGUAAGUAGUAGAGUAGUUUGAUAGCAAGAUAAUUUGUAACAAGCAAGUAACGAUAGUAGUAGCAAAAGUGCAGAAAGGUAGACCAAUCCUUUUGAGGCAAAGGACAGGCCAAAACGGUCCCUUAUGAUAAGCAAAGUGUUCUUGAGGGUACACGGGAAUUUCAUCUAGUCACUUUCAUCAUAUUGGUUCGAUUUGUGUUCGCUACUUUGAUAAUUUGAUAUAUGGUUGGACCGGUGCUUAGGGAUUGUUCUUACUUGAACAAACCUCCUAUUUAUGAGUAACCCUCCCGCAAGCAUCCGCAACUACAAGAAAAGUAUUAAGAAUAAAUUCUAACCAUAGCAAACUUUUGGAUCCAAUCGGUCCCUUACAGAAUAGCGCAUAAACUGGGGUUUAAGCUUCUGUCACUCUCGCAGCCCAUCAUCUAAUUGCUACUCCAAAAUGCAUUCCCUUAGGCCCAAAUAUGGUGAAGUGUCAUGUAGUCGACGUUCACAUGACACCUCUAAGGGAAUCACAACAUACAUACUAUCAAAAUAUCGAACACAUAUCAAGUUCACAUGAUUAUUUGGAACAUUAUUUCUCCCGUGACCUCAAGAACAAAAGUAACUACUCACAAAGUUAUAAACAUGCUCAUGAUCAGAGGAGUAUUAAAUAGCAUAUUGGAUCUGAACAUAUAAUCUUCCACCAAAUAAACCAUAUAGUAAUCAACUACAAGAUGUAAUCAACGCUACUAGUCACCCACAAGCACCAAUCUACAGUUCUGGUAACAAGAUUGAACACAAGAGAUGAACUAGGGUUUGAGAUGAGAUGGUGAUGUUGAAGAUGUUGAUAGAGAUUUCCCUCCCCGGGAUGGGAGAGUUGUUGGUGAUGAUGAUGAUGAUUUCCCCCUCCGGGAGGGAAGUUCCCCCAGCGGAAUCGCUCCGCCGGAGGGCAAAAGUGCUCCUGGCCAAGUUCCACCUCGAGGCGGCGGUGCUCCAUCCCAAAAGUCCUCUCUCUAUUGAAAUAUUGUGGAUGUCGCCUAGAGGGGGGUGAAUAGGCGCUUUAAAAUAAUUAUGGUUUAGGCUUGAACAAAUGCGGAAUAAACCUAGCGGUUAAUUUGUCAAGCACAAAACCUACAACAACUAGGCUCACCUAUGUGCACCAACAACUUAUGCUUAGCAAGAUAAACUACUAGGUGAUAGCAAGAUAUAAGACAAGAAACAAUAUGGCUAUCACAAAGUAAAGUGCAUAAGUAAAGAGCUCGGGUAAGAGAUAACCAAGGCACACGGAGACGACGAUGUAUCCCGAAGUUCACACCCUUGCGGAUGCUAAUCUCCGUUUGGAGCGUUGUGGAGGCACAAUGCUCCCCAAGAAGCCACUAGGGCCACCGUAAUCUCCUCACGCCCUCGCACAAUGCAAGAUGUCGUGAUUCCACUAAGGGACCCUUGAGGGCGGUCAACGAACCCGUACAAAUGGCAACCCUUGGGGGCAGUCACCGAACCCGUACACUUUAGCAACCCUUGGGGCGGUCAUCAGAACUCGCCAAAUUGCUUAGGGUGAUCUCCACAACCUAAUUGGAGACCCCGACACUUGCCCGGAGCUUUACACCACAAUGAUUGAGCUCCGAACACCACAAAGGUUGGGGUUAACUCCCCAACGACACCACGAAGAUUCACCACAAUGGAAUAUGGCUCCGAGGUGACCUCAACCGUCUAGGGCGCCCAAGCACCCAUGAGGAACAAGCUCAAGGGUACCAAGCACCCAAGAGCAAUAAGCUUCUAAACUUGUAACUUCCAAGUAUCACCGUGGAGAACUCAAACCGAUGCACCAAAUGCAAUGGCAAGGGCACACUGAGUGCCCAAGUCCUUCUCUCCCAAAUCCCACCGAAGCAACAAAUGCUAGGGAGGAAAAUGAGAGGAAGAACGAAGAAGAGAACAUGAAGAACUCCAAGAUCUAGAUCCAAGGGGUUCCCCUCACAUAGAGGAGAAAGUGAUUGGUGGAAAUGUGGAUCUAGAUCUCCUCUCCCUUUUCCCUCAAAAACUAGCAAGAAUCCAUGGAGGGAUUGAGAGUUAGCAAGCUCGAAGAAGGUCAACAAUGGGGGAAGAAUACGAUCUCAAAGGAUAAGGUUCAUUGGGGAAGAAGACCCCCUUUUAUAGGAGGAGAAAAAUCCAACUGUUAUGUGCUCAGCCCGCACACGAGCGGUAUUACCGCUCCACGAGCGGUACUACCGCUCGGGCGGAAGAAGCACGGAAAUGGAGCAACAAAACAUGAACCUUAGGGAGGUAGUACCGCAUAUAAGCGGUACUACCACUCACCCCAGCGGUACUACCGCUGGAGGAGCAGAACAUGAGACCAAAAGAGGCAGGGCAGAGCAGAGUACGGCGGCAGUAAUGCAGUAGCGGUACUACCGCCCAACCGGAGCGGUACUACCGCUUAUAGGCGGUACUACCGUGCCUUACUGCCGUGCAACUACUGCUAAACCCGACACAAAAAGUGGAGGACCCAAAAUCGAGGCAGUAGAAGAGCGGUACAGCAGCGGUACUGCGGCUGAGAGCUCCAAGCGGUACUACCGCUUGGGCUCGCGGUACUACCGCUGGGACCAGACAAAAGCCACUUCCAAGAAAACAAGAACUGCCAUAACUUCUGCAUAUGAGCUCCGAAUCGAGCAAACUCAAGCUUGUUGGAAACAAGAUGACGAGUAGCAUCAAAACAGUGACUUGUUAUAGUAAGAAGAGGCAGGGGAAGUAUGCCUAACAAAUGGAGGAGUGAAACCUCCAACAGAGAAGAACGGGCAUAACCUCCAACAUCGAAAACAUCAUAGAAGAUGCAAGCAAACUCCGUUUUCGAUGAACUCGAGCUUGUCACCAAGAUGACAAUAAGCUCCAAAACUCACAAAGAGAACCAAACAAGAACCAAGAAAGAUGAUGCAAGGAUGCAAAGGUUUGAGCUCUCUACGAACGAUACACGAUCAAGCUACUCAUCGAGAGCCCCCCUUGAUAGUACGGCAAUCGACCCUAUAACCCGGUCUCCCAACCACCACUAUGAGACCGGUAAAAUAGAAAACCUAUCAAGGGCAAACCUUUGUCUUGCACAUAGUCCACUUGAGCUAGAUGAUGAUGAUCUUGACUUCCUCAAGUUGGACCACCUUUCUUGAUUGUGUUGGCUCGAUGAAGACUAGUUGAUUGCUCCCCCAUACUCCACUAUGGGUGAGCCACUCUUCGGCACAUCUUCAUAAAUCCAUUGUUACCAUAAUGGACGGCAAGCUUCUAGCAUUUGAUCUCUUCGUGAUGCUCCACUUGAACUUGCACAUCGCAACCUAACUCCACAAAGAACUCUCACGAAAACAAUGGGUUAGCAAACAAAGCAUAAUGGACAAUUCUUACCAUACCAUGGGAUCACUUGAUCCCUCAGUACAUCUUGUAUGUUUUGUGUGUUGAUCAACUUGAUUCAUUCUUGACUUAAUCUUGAUCAACCUUGAAUCUUUCCAAUUCUCUUCAUUUGGAUUAUGUCUUGAAGGUAGACAUGAAUGAUCACACAAUCUUCUUCUUCAAGACAUGCUUGCAAUAAGCUCAACACUCACAUGACCAAUCUUUGGAUAAUUCCUUGAAUAGCACCUUGGUCGACACAAACUCUCCUUGAAACCAACACAUGUACUCCAAGAAAAGCCUAUGGACAAAACCUUCAAAUAUAACUCAAGGAAACCAUUAGUCCAUAGAGAUUGUCAUCAAUUACCAAAACCAAACAUGGGGCACCGCAUGUUCUUUCAAUCUCCCCCAUUUUGGUAAUUGAUGACAAUCACUUUCAAGAGAGUUUAUACAAGUAAUUAUGCAUCACUAUGCAAUGCAACAACCAAUAAUGCAUGCGUAUGAGAUGCAAAUGCUUAGGAACAAAACCAAAGCAAGGAGAAAACUCUAAAGACUUCUCCAGAAAACUCUCUGAAACUUCUCCCCCAUUGGCAUAGAUUGCCAAAAUGGGCGAAAAGCUUAGAAGGCCAAUAUAGAUUGAGUUCCUCCAUAAAUUGUGCAUUUCUCAAAAGAGAGUGGAAUGCCAUACACAUAUCCAAAGGUAAAACUUGGAGGAAGACCAACUAUAUUGAGGCACCAAGAUUGCAAAAGAAUGAUAUGCCACAAAGACAUAACAAAGAGAGAAACAAGCAAUUAAGCAAUCAAAAGAUACUAAUUGAAGCAAGCUAUCAAAAGAUACCAAUUGAACCAACUAGACCAAUGAAUCUACGUGCCACAUGAAUAAAGAUAUUAUGAUAUGAGCAAAGAAGUGUUCUAAGGAAACUGGAGAAGCUCCCCAUGAUUUGUGCACACAUCAGAAUAUUUGUAUUUGGAUACAAAGUGCACAAAAUAGGAUCAUAGCUCCCCCAAAAUCAAUAAAAACUUACAACAAGUGCAAGUGAGCAUAUAGGAAACUAAGCCUAGUACUUGCAACAAACACAUGGUUGAGCAACACGUAAAAGAGGCAACUUAAGAAUGGGCUCAACCAAAAUGAUGUGUGUGAGUCAAGGCACUGCACUUGAUAAGACUAAAGUACAGAUGAGCAUUAAGCAUCAAUAAAGUCUCUAAAGAAUGAGGCACACGGUGCAAGGCCUAUCAUUCCCACACACAACUAGCAAAUGGGUUCACAAGCUUAAUAAUAAGCAUAUAAAGAACCUAUGCUUGUGACAACCCAUGGUGAAGAUAGAAGAUGAAAGCCCCAUCAAGAUGAGGGACACCAAUUAAGAUGGCAAAAGCCUCGUAAAGAUAAGCAUGAGGAAAAUAAUCUUCACCACACAAGAGUGCAUCAAGAUGCAACGAGAGAAGACACACACUCAAGGCAAAAGCUUUCACGGAGCAACCAAAGAAAUAACAUAAGAAAGACAAGGUGGACGUGAAAGAAAGGAUAUCAGCUAGAUAUGCAACUUCUCUCAAGUGUAUACGAUUCUAGGUAGAUGAAAUCAUGAUGAUAUAUAUCUACAAAGAAGGGUGUACACCUGAAAUAGUUAAAACACGAGGAACAAAAUAUCCAAAGGGAGGUCAUACAUAUACCAAUAAGAUAUUUGCUUGGAAGCAUAGCAGAUGGAUAGAUAUGGUCUUAUUGUAUAUAAAUGAAUUCCUACCAAACAACCAUCAAAGACAUCACAACUAGCAACAUGAGAUCAUCGUUGAGAUGCUUUGAGAAAGGAAACAAGUAUCACAAGAUGGAAUGAAUAUCAUGCUAAGAUGCAACCUACAUAAGGUUGAAUGCAAGAAAAGAAUGCGUGAAGGGAUACUUGUUACCCAGAUAUCAUUGGAAGGAUGUAGAAGAAACUAAUUGAAGGUAAUAGAUAGUAGUUCAUUAAGCAUCCUAGCUUUACUCCAAUAAGCACAUGGUGACACCACCUUCCUUGUGAGUGAGCCGAGCAUCCAAUGCAUCUCCAAUUGUUCCUAGAACAACAACACAAACAAAAUGGUACCCAAACUCAUUAGGACCAAAGACUUAGAAACACCAACAAUACAUAGGACAAACUCCACCUAAAUAUGUGCAUAUAGAAAUGAAGAAGAAUAUCAUGCACAUCUCAUCCAAUUUGAGACUUGGUGGAGUUUCCCCUGUAUAUUGGGUUAAAAGAAAGCAUGCCAAAGAUACUACAUGAAAUUAAUAUGCAUGCUCAAGACUUUGAAGAACCAAUACCAAAUGACAAAGAAAUGCCAAGAGAAUAAAAGAUACCAAAUGAAUAAAUCAUUACUUGGAGGAUAUCAAAUGAAAGAUACAUAAAGGAAUGAGAUAUCCAUUGGCACCCUCAAAAUAAAAGAUAUCAAACUCCCAAAAGAUAGGAUGGUUCCAAAACAAACCAAGCUCUCUACAAAGUUUCAUGAUGGCACAAAGUACCAAAACGAAAAUGGCUUGCCUUCCAGCAACACACACUUGAUAAGGAUCGCAAGAUGAGUGUUUUAUAAAAAAUAGGAUAGCUCCCCCAAGACUAGUGCAUUAUAGAGAAUUUGCAUUUGAAUACAAAAUGCACAAGGUGGGAUCACCACUUUCACUAUAUCUAGAAAACACUAGACAAGAUCAAGAAAGAUCCACAAGUGGUAUGGAAGACAAACGGAGUUGAUACAUUCCUUGGCAAGAGAAAAGGCAAAUAAAAGCAAAAGCUAAUGUAAAGAUGAUCAAUAAAUUCUACCACACAAGUGAGUACCAAUUGUCAAAAGACAAGAAGUAAAUGGAAAUAAUUCCUGGUGGUAGAUAGCAAGGAUAUCCGACAUCAUCUUCACACCAAACAAAAAGCAAAUUGCAACUUGUAGAGCUAACAUACCACCUAGGAACAAGAUAAUUUACAAUAUCAACUCUAGGUAACAAUAUCUCAAAUGUACACAUUUUCUAGGCUAGUAAUAUACACAUAGCAUAUUACUCCCCCAUAAUGUGAUACCAAUUAAGGAUAAACAAGAGGCAAAUUAAAGGAUCCAACAAGAGAUAACUAAUGGACUAUUUAGAAUUUGAAUUUCACAUGAGAAGACAUACCACAUAGCGACUAGAUAAUCUUGAAAUAUCAAUACUAGAUGGUAUUACUUAUGUACACACAUUUAUAGGAUUGUGAGGUGCACAAAGCACAUCACUCCCCCAUAUUGGGAUAUUCCAUUAAUCUCUCACAAGAGCCAACUAAGAAAUAAACAAGAUGCAAAAGGCUCAACGCAUGACACACACGUACAUGAUGUGCAAACCAACACACACAUACUUGAUUGCUCAAGAUAAUCAAGUUGGAAGCACAAGAUAUACAAACACAUGCAAGGAACGAAACCAAACAUGCAAAGGGUGUAACGCCCCCGAUUUGACCAUACACUAAUCAUACACGCAAACGUGUACGAUCAAGAUCAGGGACUCACGGAAAUAUAUCACAACACAACUCUACAAAUAAAAUAAGUCAUACAAGCAUCAUAUUACAAGCCAGGGGCCUCGAGGGCUCGAAUACAAGAGCUCGAUCAUAGAUGAGUCAGCGGAAGCAACAAAAUCUGAGUACAUACAUAAGUUAAACAAGUCUGCCUUAAGAAGGCUAGCACAAACUGGGAUAUAGAUCGAAAGAGGCGCAGGCCUCCUGCCUGGGAUCCUCCUAAACUACUCCUGGUCGUCAUCAGUGGGCUGCACGUAGUAGUAGGCACCUCCCGAGUAGUAGUAGUCGUCGUUGACGGUGGUGUCUGGCUCCUGGACUCUAAUGUCUGGUCGUAGCAAACGGAUAUAGGAAAGGGAAAAGGGGGAGAAAAGCAACCGUGAGUACUCAUCCAAAGUACUCGCAAGCAAGGAGCUACACUACAUAUGUAUGCAUUGGUAUCAAAUGGAAUAAGGGUAUCAUAUGUGGACUGAACUGCAGAAUGCCAGAAUAAGAGGGGGAUAGCCAGUCCUAUUGAAGACUACGCUUCUGGUAACCUCCAUCUUGCAGCAGGAGAAGAGAGUAGAUGGUAAGUUCACCAAGUAGCAUCGUAUAGCAUAAUCCUACCCGGCGGUCCUCUCCUCGUCGCCCUGUUAGAGAGCGACCACGGGGUUGUAUCUGGCACUUGGAAGGGUGUGUUUUAUUAAGUAUCCGGUUCUAGUUGUCAUAAGGUCAGGGUACAACUCCAAGUCGUCCUGUUACCGAAGAUCACGGCUAUUCGAAUAGAUUAACUUCCCUGCAGGGGUGCACCACAUAACCCAACACGCUCGAUCCCAUUUGGCCGUACACACUUUCCUGGGUCAUGCCCGGCCUCGGAAGAUCAACACGUCACAGCCCUACCUAGGCACAACAGAGAGGUCAGCACGCCAGUCAAAAUCCUAUGGCGCAGGGGUCUGGGCCCAUCGCCCAUUGCACACCUACACGUUGCGAGGGCGUCUGGAACUAGAACUAGCCCCCUUAAUACAAGAGCAGGCUUACGUUCCAAUCCGGCGCGCGCCGCUCAGUCGCUGGCGCCACGAAGGCUUCGGCUGAUACCACGACGUCGAGUGCCCAUAACUGUCCCGCGUAGAUGGUUAGUGCGUAUAGGCCAGUGGCCAGACUCAGAUCAAAUACCAAGAUCUCGUUAAACGUGUUAAGUAUCCGCGAACGCCGACCAGGGCCAGGCCCACCUUUCUCCUAGGUGGUCUCAACCUGCCCUGUCGCUCCGCCACAAAGUAACAGUUGGGGGGCGUCGGGAACCCAGGCCCACCUCUACCGGGAUGGAGCCACCUGCCCCUUCAGCCCCCAACUCCGAACAGUAUCAUAGGUAAUGUAAUAGUGUAAAGUAUAUAACAUAUUCUCGUGAUCACCUCCCGAGUGAUCACGACCCAGUAGUAUAGCAUGGCAGACGGACAAGAGUGUAGGGCCAGUGAUGGAACACUAGCAUCCUAUACUAAGUAGUAGGAUAGCAGGUAAAGGUAACAACAGUAGUAGCAAGGACAUGCUAUGCAGCAGAAUAGGAUUAACGGAAAGCAGUAACAUGCUACAAUACUCUAAUGCAAGUAGUAGAGAGAAGAAUAGGCGAUAUCUGGUGAUCAAGGGGGGCUUGCCUGGUUGCUCUGGCAAGAGAGAGGGGUCGUCAACAUCGUAGUCGUACUGGGUAGCAGCGGCGUCGGUCUCGAUGUCUAGCGAGAGAAGAGGGGGAAGAAACAAUAAAUAUAAUGCAAACAAAUGCAUGACGAUGCGUGACAUGACAAAGCCUGAUGCUAGGUGUGCCCUAACGCGGUAUGAGGUGGUACCGGUGAAGGGAGGAAACAUCCGGGAAAAUAUCCCCGAUGUUUCGCGUUUUCGGGCAGAGGAGCCGGAGGGGGAAAGUUGCGAGUUUGAUAGGUUAGGGAUGUGUGGCGGACAAACGGGCUGUGUACCCGGGUUCGUCACGUCGUUCUGAGCAACUUUCAUGUACAAAGUUUUUUCAUCCGAGCUACGGAUUAUUUUAUAUUAAUUUUAAAAGAUUUAAAUCAUUUUUAGGAUUUAUUUAAUAAUUUAAAACAACAUUAUCCAAAACAGUGUUUGCUGACGUCAUCAUGACGUCAGCAGUGUUGACUGGGUCAAACUGAAGUGUGGGUCCCUCAUGUCAUAGACUAUUUAGUUAGCAGUUUAAUUAAACCGAGUUAAUUAGGUUAAUAGUCUAAUUAGUUUAAUUAAAUAGGAUUAAUUAAGUUAAUUUAGUUAAUUAAUUAAUUUAAUUAAUUAUUUUUAUCUUAAUUAUUUUCUCUCUUUUUUAAAAAAAUGUUCUGUGGGGUGGGGCCCUCAUGUCAUUGGCCCAAGGCCUUAACGGGCGCGCGGUUACGGGGUGGAGCCAGGCGCGGGCGCUGGGCGCCCGACUGGGGGAGCCCGUGCGCGACCUCGAGCGAGGCCAUCGGCGCGGCCGCCGGCGUCCAUGACGCCGGCCAGGGGAGGAGGCGGAGGCCUACGCGCGGCGCGGUGAGGCCGCAGCGGCAGGCGGAGCGGAGGCGGGGCGCGACAGAGCUAGCAGCAACGGCGGAGGUGGCUGUAGGUGGGAGGCAGCGGCGACAGGCAGGGAGGCGCGGCUGGUCGGGGUGGCUAGGUCGCAGCCGGCAGCGGUGCGCGAGCACGGCGCGUGGCGUGAGUAGCAGGGAAGAGGAGGCACCAGUAGUGUUGGCAGCAGAAGCAGCACAGCACGCAGAGCAAGCAGCAGCAGAAGCCGGCAGCAACAGGAGCGCGCGGGUGCGCGCGGACAUGCAUGGCAGGGCCGCCGCGUGGGCUGGGCGCAGCCACGGGCAGAAACGAGAGGGGAGGGGGCACAGCCAUGCGCGCGCGUGGAAGCGCAACAUGCAUAGGCAGGCAUAGCCGACGGCGCGGGCAAGGGUCGCGAUGAGUGUGAGGUGACCGUGGGCGUGGGCUCGGACGCGGGGCAUGGCGGGCAUAGGGGAGAGAGGUGGUGGAGGCCGGGGGCCUCACCCGCGUUGGAGAGGUGAUGGGCGUCGUGGCUCGGAGAAGCCGGUCGGGGGAGAGGUCGAGGAGGUCCACGGCGGGGCAGUCAGGCGGGGAGGUCCGACGUCGAGCGGCGGGGUCGGGGCAUCGCGCGCACAGGGGCGCCGCCCCCAAUCCAGAACGUGGGGGGAGGUGCGAGGGGAGUGGGUUAGGGUUACGAUGGAGUGGGGGAGGCCUAAGUAGGCCAGUGGCAUGGGCCGGCCUGGCUGGGCCAAGGCCCAGUUGGGCCGAGGGGGUUUUCUUUUCUUUUUUUGUUUGUUUUGUUUUUUUAAUUUUGUUUUUAUUUAUUCUUUUCUUUAUUAUUUUAGUUUCACAUUGCUAUAGUUUAGAUAAAAUACCAAGUUAGUACCUAAAUUAGUAUAAUUAAUAUAGGCCACUACCCAACCUGGUUUUGACUCAAAAUAAGUUAGCUUAAUAUUUUUAUAAUUUAAAGAGCAAUUAAAAUGUUAUUUAGCCAUUGUGUUUAUUAUUUUAGUGUCUUUAAUUAUUAUUUUUUUAAAUGUGGUUUCUGCACCAAUAUUAUUUAUGCUUUAUUUGCUACAACUUGAACAUUUUAGUUUUAAAGUUUGAAAACUUUUGAUGUUUGCUUUUAAUUCAAUUUUGAAUUUGAAUCGGUUUUGAACUAACGCGAGAUUAUCAAAAGUAAUCGAGAUGACGUGGCACCAUUAGCAGAGGUUUACUGUAGCUUGAUUAUCCGGGCGUCACAAUUCUCCUCCACUACAAGAAAUCUCGUCCCGGGAUUUAAGAGGGAAGUAAAGGGGGAAGGUUUGGGUUACGAAAUUCUAGGGAGUGUUCUUGGUCUUGGUUGUUCUUCUCGAAGAGGUUGAUCCAUUACAUUGAUGUCUUCAUUUCGCUGUUUCAGGUCAUCAUGAAGUUGUCAUCUUUACUUCAGGAUCUUCACCGUACUCACGGAAGGGUAAGAAGGGAAAACUCUAUAUGGAUGGAUUCUAACAAGAUCGAGCAUCAGACAGUUAACUCAGGGAAGAAGCAUAAGUAUCUCACGAUUUGAAACUUAAGAAGAUAUCAAGAGCAAAGUAAGAAGGUAUCAUGAGAAGUUUCAAACGGAUAGGCAUUCGUUCGAUGCCUAAUCAGAAGGUGAAAGGGUUUCAGGGCAACGGGAAUAGGUAUUGCGCCUCAUACCAGAAUAGAUCACUAGAAUGGUGGUCCGUGAAUUACAUACGAAGUCAAGUGCGAGGAACAACCUUGGGAACAGGUGGUGUACAGGAGAGUCAGGUUUCGAUCCUAUGGAACUGUGGGUUAUGGGCCCACCAUGUGGGAUAAAAGUAGGAGGAGCGGUGACAUCUUGCAUGGUCAGGAUAGCAAGGCAUGUCAGAGGGUAGCCUGUCGAUUAUGUAGGCAACAACGUCGGUACCAAGGGCGAGGGACGAAGAGAACCAUUUUCUAGCUCGUUGAACGAGGUGGGCCAAUAGGCAAAGUUCUCGUCCAUCGGUGGUUACCGGAAUGUCAUCAACAAUAGUAAUAGGCUCUUACUGACAGAGUUGUACACCGAGAUGUUUGCACAAGCAGGGAAUUAUUACUACUUAUAUCAUAUAGAUCACAGAAACGGUUUAACCAAACCAAUGGAAAGGGAAAGAUAACUAUCAGAUUAAACAGAUCAAUGGAAAGUAAAAUGUGUUUAAACACAUAUUUCAAGGGUAUAUCCUUCCGAAGGUCAAGCAGAGCAUGAUAUCCAUGUUAGGAUGUAAUGUAGAAAACUCUUUAGGUAGGGGAGAGAAAUUUCAUGACAUUACCCAUACAACGGUGUUUGGAUAAAUGAUAAGGAAAACUUAGCAUUGUGCUUUAAAUGUUCUUAUUGAGAAUUGGAGUAGCACAGACAUGCUUCGAGAUGGCAUUGAAAAGGUCUUCAAGCAAAGGUCAGGCCUUGGAUACACGAAGGAUUUACCAGGAACAACUUGUAGAAUAAGUCUUACAAUUUCCUAAUGGAAGAACGGCUAACCUUGCGAAAAAGGAAACUAUAACAAUAGGGCCUCCGGCCAGGUGUGCUAGGCAUGACAUCACCUUACCAGGUCAUAUAAAGACCAAUGUUGUGACUCUUGGAAAGUGUUCCAACCAUCAUAUCUGACCGAGAUUCAGAUCUGAUCGGUGUUAGGAUACCUCAGACUCAGGAUGCCUGAUAAGAAGAGGUGCAACACAAUUAACGAGAUGACAUUAUAUGAUUCUCGGGAAAUGAACUACGGAAGCGACUUCCGAAACCAGAGUUCAUCAGUAAACCAAGGAGAGGAUGAGGAGGUGGCUGAUGAACUCAACGACAAUUCAACAAGAUUUCCAAAAUAUGGAUUUCCACAAUUAUGUGAACAGGGAGAUAACAUUUGUCAGAUCAAAUGAUAUAAUGAGGUAUGCUCGAGGAAAACAUACCCAAUUAAACAUUGGUUGAAAGGUGCACCCGAAAUAUGGGCUUAGGUAGCAUGACCGAUGUAAGAAUGGUGAUUCUAUAACCAAUGGUCUAUGAAUGAAAUGUCGACCAUUAACUUCAAAGCAAUAUGGUUGCUAGAAGUGCAGAAUCCAAGCAGCACCAUUCAUCUGUUGGUAUCCCGGCUAGAAUCAACACAGGUACCAAGAAAGAAUGGUGAUGGCGAGAAGUAUCACUAUACCAAUAAUUCUAAAGAGGUGGAGCAAUUCUCACGACCUUCUUGACAUAUAAGAUAGUAAUACUCCAAGGUAAAGAAGAAUAAUUGCUGGAUAUCAAGGAUCUCAAAGUAUAACACAAAACACGAAUAAGUUUGUGUUGGAGGGAAGUCAAUAAAGUGGUCGAUGAUAACACAGAUCAUCGAGGGCAAGGAUGGUAUUCCUCAUAAUGAACUCAAUUGACAUCCUGGAAGAGCUCAGAAUGCCGAUGAUGAUCACGACACAAUUGUUGAGAGAUUUCAUGAAGAUGCAAUCGGUCGGCGAUGACAUCAAGCCACAGGAAUGAUGAAGCGAAAGGUUAUUGAACCCAAGGGUAUGACACAAACUCAAAACCAAGCUUGUUGUUUAAGGCAAAGUGGUAUGAUGAGGAGGAUCGACGUAAGCUUAGCUCAUCGUCGAAAGUUGGGCUCCGGGAAUAAGGACCAGGUAGCACAGUUAAAAUCAUCACGGUAAUGAUAUAGCCAAAUAGGGUAGGAAGGAUAUGAUCGGGUACAAACUCGUAAGUAAAGAAGAUUACCAAAGGUUGUUGAACCGUAGUGCGGACUCGGUUUAGUUAUCGGUUUUUGAGUGUUUAAUAACUCAGAGCCCGUGAAAAUUUUGGAAUCAGUGAGAAUGUAGUACUUGAUGAGGAACUCAUAAGAGGUUAUGUAGUACUUGAUAUUAUUGAGGUACCAUGGUGUAAUACUCGACGGAAGAUCAAAGUAAAGGUUGGACUGGUGUAUUGAUACACAGAAGACAAGUACUUCAACUUGUCCGAGAAAUGGUAUCAAAGAAGAACAAUAUGGUCGGAACCACGAAUGCAAAAGACCAGAUCCUAGAUAUAAGAUGAACUUAUACCAAGGAAUAAUUAAUUUAAGAGAAGCUUCCAUGAUAAGAUCUACAUCGUGUCCAUGGGCAUGAACACGAAGUUCAAGGUCGACUCCCACUUCUCCCAUGCAUAACCUAUCAUUCACUCCUCAUUUUCGAUGGAGUUGUAGUGUUGAAAUUUUAUCUGGUAAAUCACCAAGAGAAUAUGACUCGUGAAAACUUUCGGGUUCACACGGUUUUAGAGAAGGUAUAGGUUCAACCCAUCGGGGUAUCUUAGAAACAUAUACCACAAGCUUCAAGAGUAAAUAUCACCAGCUCGAAAGUAAAGCAUGGUUGACAAAGCAGAGGAUACAAUUUACCAAAGGCAUUUCAUACCCGCGGAAAGGCUCACAAGGUUAUUGAAUAUGAAGGACACUUUCGGAUAAUAAAUUCAACAAAGGAUCUGAAAGUCCAUAACGGAGCUAAUGUGAGCACCAAUCACACAAUCAGAGGACAAAAACAAUGCAAGGGCAUUGGCUUAUAGAAACAACUGACUAACCCAAAGCUCAAACGCAAAGGAAUUAUGAUUUCCAAAACAAUGGAUCAGAAGCAGACGCUCUGAUUAAGGAUGGAUAAGUUGAGUAAGCAUAGGGGUACAAUCGACGACAAUUGGAUUGGUCAAGAUCCAGCUCAUGUUUAAAAUGACGCCUGAGCCGGAAGGAUGAAUUCUAGGAACUGGCUGAAGAUUGCGAGCAACCGCACCAUAUUGAAUCAAAGGACUCAAAAUGAUAAUGACAAAGGAUGUCAAUAAAAUUACUAGACUUAUGGGAUUAACCAUAAUGUAAGUAAGCAAGAAUUUCAAGAGCAAAAGGCUCCUGAGGAUUUUCGGAAGAUCGAAUGGUAUUUUGAAGACUUUUGUGAAACACAUGAACAACUGGGGAUGAGCGGAUACUCGACAAGUGCGGGGACUUAUUUGUAGGGGUAUUCAUGUGGCAAAGAACUGCAAGGCAAUAGGCACAAAGUAUUCUUGAAACAAUAGAGAAAACUUCGGGGUAUCUUGUAAUAACCAGAUCAAUGGGGGAUGAUCGUAUGAAUGGCAAGUGUAAGUAGUUAUCCAUAAGGAUUUAUCGGUGGUAGGGAAUUGCAAAAGCAACAGGCAUAAGGUCUCGAGAAAAUAUCGGAGAGUAUUGUCAGAAUCUUCUGUUGAAGCAGUCAAUCAUCCAUAAUGAAAUGCUUCUCCGGCAGGAAGUGGUAACGAGAACCUAGAGUUAGAUUUUAGCAAAAUCAUUUAACCCGAAUAGAAGAGAGAUCAGAGUCCCAGAGUAUAGAUCGAGGAAUAAAAGAUCCUAAUAACACCCGAUGGCGACGUGGGCCCAGGGGCCGCACAGCCAAGUUAGUAAAACAAUUUUCAUCGACUAGACUCAACUUCGGCCAAGGAGUGUGGAAGGGGGAUUCCUACAGGCGGUCAGCUCUGAUACCAACUUGUGACGCGCCCGAUUUGACCGUACACUAAUCAUACACGCAAACAUGUAUGAUCAAUAUCAGGGACUCACGGAAAGAUAUCACAACACAACUCUACAAAUAAAAUAAGUCAUACAAGCAUCAUAGUACAAGCCAGGGGCCUCGAGGGCUCGAAUACAAGAGCUCGAUCAUAGAUGAGUCAGCGGAAGCAACAAAAUCUGAUUACAGACAUAAGUUAAACAAGUCUGCCUUAAGAAGGCUAGCACAAACUGGGAUACAGAUCGAAAGAGGCGCAGGCCUCCUGUCUAGGAUCCUCCUAAACUACUCGUGGUCAUCGUCAGCGGGUUGCACGUAGUAGUAGGCACCUCCCGAGUAGUAGUAGUCGUCGUCAACGGUGGCGUCUGGCUCCUGGACUCCAAUGUUUGGUCAUAGCAAACGGAUAUAGGAAAGGGGAAAAGGGGGAGAAAAGCAACCGUGAGUACUCAUCCAAAGUACUCGCAAGCAAGGAGCUACACUACAUAUGUAUGCAUUGGUAUCAAAUGGAAUAAGGGUGUCAUAUGUGGACUGAACUGCAGAAUGCCGGAAUAAGAGGGGGAUAGCUAGUCCUAUCGAAGACUAUGCUUCUGGUAACCUCCAUCUUGCAGCGGGAGAAGAGAGUAGAUGGUAAGUUCACCAAGUAGCAUCGUAUAGCAUAAUCCUACCUGGCGGUUCCCUCCUCGUCGCCCUGUUAGAGAGUGACCACCGGGUUGUAUCUCGCACUUGGAAGGGUGUGUUUUAUUAAGUAUCCGGUUCUAGUUGUCAUAAGGUCAAGGUACAACUCCAAGUCAUCAUGUUACCGAAGAUCACGGCUAUUCGAAUAGAUUAACUUCCCUGCAGGGGUGCACCACAUAACCCAACACGCUCGAUCCCAUUUGGCCGGACACACUUUCCUGGGUCAUGCCCGGCCUCGGAAGAUCAACACGUCGCAGCCCUACCUAGGCACAACAGAGAGGUCAGCACGUCGGUCUAAAUCCUAUGGCGCAGGGGUCUGGGCCCAUCGCCCAUUGCACACCUGCAUGUUGCGAGGGCGGCUAGAAGCAGAACUAGCCCCCUUAAUACAAGAGCAGGCUUAUGUUCCAAUCUGGCGCGCGCCGCUCAAUCACUGACGUCACGAAGGCUUCGGCUGAUACCACGACGUCGAGUGCCCAUAACUGUCCCCGCGUAGAUGGUUAGUGCGUAUAGGCCAGUGGCCAGACUCAGAUCAAAUACCAAGAUCUCGUUAAACGUGUUAAGUAUCCGCGAACGCCGACCAGGGCCAGGCCCACCUCUCUCCUAGGUGGUCUCAACCUGCCCUGUCGCUCCGCCACAAAGUAACAGUCGGGGGCCGUCGGGAACCCAGGCCCACCUCUACCGGGAUGGAGCCACCUGCCCCUUCAGCCCCCAACUCCGAACAGUACCACAGGUAAUGUAAUAGUGUAAAGUAUAUAACAUAUGCCCGUGAUCACCUCCCGAGUGAUCACGGCCCAGUAGUAUAGCAUGGUAGACGGACGAGAGUGUAGGGCCACUGAUGGAACACUAGCAUCCUAUACUAAGAAGUAGGAUAGCAGGUAAAGGUAACAGCAGUAGUAGCAAGGACAGGCUAUGCAGCAGAAUAGGAUUAACGGAAAGCAGUAACAUGCUACACUACUCUAAUGCAAGUAGUAGAGAGAAGAAUAGGCGAUAUCUGGUGAUCAAGGGGGGCUUGCCUGGUUGCUCUGUCAAGAGAGAGGGGUCGUCAACACCGUAGUCGUACUGGGUAGCAGCGGCGUCGGUCUUGAUGUCUAGCGAGAGAAGAGGGGGAAGAAACAAUAAAUAUAAUGCAAACAAAUGCAUGACGAUGCGUGACAUGACAAAGCGUGAUGCUAGGUGUGCCCUAACGCGGUAUGAGGUGGUACCGGUGAAGGGGGGAAACAUCCGGGAAAAUAUCCUCGGUGUUUCACGUUUUCGGGCAUACGAACCGGAGGGGGAAAGUUGCGAGUUCGAUAGGUUAGGGAUGUGUGGCAGACGAACAGGCUGCGUACCCGGAUUCGUCACGUCGUUCUGAGCAACUUUCAUGUACAAAGUUUUUUCAUCCGAGCUACGAAUUAUUUUAUAUUAAUUUUAAAAGAUUUAAAUCAUUUUUAGGAUUUAUUUAAUUAUUUAAAACAGCAUUAUCCAGAACAGUGUUUGCUGACGUCAUCAUGACAUCAGCAUGAUGUCAGUAGUGUUGACUGGGUCAAACUGAAGUGUGGGUCCCUCACAUCAUAGACUGUUUAGUUAGCUGUUUAAUUAAACAAAGUUAAUUAGGUGGGAGGCAGCGGCGACGGGCAGGGAGGCGCGGCUGGUCGGGGUGGCUGGGUCGCAGCCGGCAGCGGUGCGCGAGCACGGCGCGCGGCGUGAGUAGCAGGGAAGAGGAGGCAGCAGUAGUGUUGGCAGCAGAAGCAGCACAGCACGCAGAGCAAGCAGCAGCAGAAGCCGGUAGCAACAGGAGCGCGCGGGUGCGCGCGGACAUGCGCGGCAGUGCCGCCGCGUGGGCGGGGCGCAGCCACGGGCAGAAACAAGAGGGGAGGGGGCGCGGCCACGCGCGCGCGUGGAAGCACAGCACGCAUAAGCAGGCGUAGCCGACGGCGCGGGCAAGGGUCGCGACGAGUGUGAGGUGACCGCGGGCAUGGGCUCGGACGCGGGGCAUGGCGGGCACAGGGGAGAGAGGUGGCGGAGGCCGGGGGCCUCACCCACGUUGGAGAGGUGUUGGGCGUCGUGGCUCGGAGAAGCCGAUCGAGGGAGAGGUCGGGGAGGUCCAGGGCGGGGCAGUCCGGCAGGGAGGUCCGGCGUCGAGCGGCGGGGUCGGGGCAUCACGCGCACAGGGGCGCCGCCCCCGAUCCAGAACGUGGGGGGGAGGAGGAGCGAGGGGAGUGGGUUAGGGUUACGGUGGAGUGGGGGAGGCCUAAGUAGGCCAGUGGCGUGGGCCGGCCUGGCUGGGCCAAGGCCCAGUUGGGCCCAGGGGGUUUUCUUUUCUUUUUCUGUUUGUUUUGUUUUUUUAAUUUUGUUUUUAUUUAUUCUUUUAUGUAUUAUUUUAGUUUCACAUUGCUAUAGUUUAGAUAAAAUACCAAGUUAGUACCUAAAUUAGUAUAAUUAAUAUAGGCCACUGCCCAACUUGGUUUUGACUCAAAAUAAGUUAGCUUAAUAUUUUUAUAAUUUAAAGAGCAAUUAAAAUGUUAUUUAGCCAUUGUUUUUAUUAUUUUAGUGUCUUUAAUUAUUAUUAUUUUAAAUGUGGUUUCUGCACCAAUAUUAUUUAUGCUUUAUUUGCUACAACUUGAACAUUUUAGUUUUAAAGUUUGAAAACUUUUGAUGUUUGCUUUUAAUUCAAUUUUGAAUUUGAAUCGGUUUUGAACUAACGCGAGAUUAUCGAAAGUAAUCGAGGUGACAUGGCACCAUUAGCAGAGGUUUACUGUAGCUUGAUUAUCCGGGCGUCACAAAGGGGCAAGUAACUAUCAAUGUAGACACUUUAAGCACGAGUUACUGCAAGGAGGAACAUUGGAUAUAUGAUAGAAACUUGAUAAUCCGAAUUACUUGGCUUGAGACAAUAAGAAUGAUGAAGUCCCCUUAAUUCUUCAUAAUGUAGCCAAGUCUCCAAUGACCUCCAUCAACACCUAUUGUUCAAGUUUGAGCUAGUUCGUCUCCAACCAAGUUGGGUCCUAAGAGGUUAGUCACAAUAGGCUUGGCUACCCAAAUGGUUCUUUGCUUCAAACCACUUUGAGUACCAACAAACUUGGCAACCACAUUGCCAACCUUAUCCUUCCCAAGAGAAUAGACAUCAUCAAUAAUAGUUGGGUUGGAUAAGUUACCACUAGUGCAUGAAGAAGCGAGGUAACCUUUCUCACGACAUAGGUAGCAACGUCUACUCUUCACUUUCUUCUCACUUGAUUUCUUAACAUGAGAAGCAUUAGCUUGAGUCUUCAUGGGAAGAGGCCUUUCUUCAACUUGAGGUUGAGCAUGAGAAUGCACUUGUAGCAGCUUCCCUUGUUGCUUGUCACUAAUGGCCUUCUUCUUCAAUGGGCAAGAUCUAACAUGACGCCCUUCAAUUUUGCACUUGAAGCAAAUAAUCUUGGCCGAACUCAUGACUUGUUUUUGGCCCUUCUUGUUGUUGCUCUUGUACUUCUUCUUCUUAUUGGAGUUGAAUCCAAGUCCACCUUUUUCAUUGGGGGAUUUUUGUACACUCAAGAUAUUGUUGAGUGUGGCAUUCCCUUCAUGAUACUUUUCCAAAUCUUUCUUCAAAGAAGUGACUUGGGCCUUGAGCUCUUUGAUUUACUCUACAUGGUUAGUCUCAACACAAGCACUAGAGGAAGUAUAAGCUUCAUCUUUAGAGCAACAAGGCAAGGAAAGCAAUUCAUCACAAGAUGUACCAAUGUUAUGCAUGGAUGAAUUGCGAGGACUAGCACAAGGCAAUAUAGCAUUUUGAAUAAAAGUAGUGCUAGUAUCCACAUGAGGCUCACUAGAUGUUACCUUAGCAAGCAUGGCCUCAUGAGCUAACUUUAGCACAUUAUGGGAUACUAGAAGAUCAUCAUGAUAGCUUGUGAGCUUUACAUGAUUUUCUUCCAACAUCCCAUAAUUGCUAGAUAGAAACUUAAGUUGAGCCCUUAGCUCAACAUUCUCCUUCAAUAUGUAGAGUUAGUAGCACAAGCAUCAUCAUUAGCAACAAGAGGAGAAGACAACUUGGCAAGCUCUUUUGAAUAUGAAUCUUUAAGUUGAGCAUGAGACUUGGUGAGUUUGAUGAGCUCACUCUUAAUGACCCUUGAGCCAUUUUCAAGGUGCUCAAAGUCCUCGAGGAGUUUAGCAUGCGCAACUUCAAGCUCCUCAUUUUUAGUUUCAAAAUCAUUGGCCACCUCAAGAGCUCUAUCACGAGAUUCCCUCACUCUAGAUAAUUCUAGAGCAAAAGUCUCCACAAGAGAUUCCUUGGUGGUUUGUUCAAGUUCAAGAGCUUGAGAGAGGUCCACGAUCUCAUUAGCAUAAUCACGCUCAUGACCUUCCAUUUUCUCAAUGGUGACCUCAUGCUCCUCGAGAUGAGAUUCCAACUCCUUAAUGUACUUCUUGCCCUCAAUGGCAAUGGACAUGAUUUCCAUGAAGUUGGAACGGGCAAUUUUAUUUUUAUGAAGAGCUUUAAAAACCAUUUACCCCUUAAUUUCUAAGGAGGCAACAUUAUCAUUCUCUUCAUCAUUAUCCUCAUCAUCAUUAGCGUCAACAUGAUCAUCAAGAGACAUAUUGGGUUUCAAAGUAGGAGAUACCUUUGAAGCCUUGGCCAUAAGGCAAAAAGCAACAGAUGAUGAUGUAGGAUCCCUUGAAGCACCAUUUAAAACCACAUCUUGUUCCAUGGAGUGUUGGGUUUCCUCUACAUUGGUAGCACCACAACUCGAGGAAAUACAAGUAUUUUUAUCAUGGCAACAAGAUAUAGCAAGCAUAUCAUCAUGAGAUUUAGUCAAACAAUUUCUACAAGAUAUGCACGGACUAUCAACACAAGCAUGUGAAACAUGUACGGUGCUCGAAGUGUUAAAGUCCAAAGAAGAUGCAUUGCAAUAAGAUAGUGCUCGAAGUAUUCAAGUCUGGAUGCACCUUAGUUCUUUCGGGAUGCUCUCAUAUUCGGUCGUUCGUCUUGAAAACUUGUUCGACGAAUCUAUCUUCUGUAGCCAAGUCUUGAUCGUCGGAUUAACUCUGAGGUGUUCAGGACCACCUCGGUUUCUGACAAGUGUCUGGACGUAUCAAUGUUGAAUUGCACGUCGAAAAUACUCAUGCGCAGUCGUUCCUUGGUCAUGAAGUAUUCCCGUGCUCAAGACCUGAUGAUGAUCUGGUCUGGCUCAAACAACACAGACCGAUCUUAUCCAUGGGCCCGCUUGGCCACAUGGUUUUCAGCCUUGACGGUUAACAUGGCGUGCAGACGUGGGUUAAGGGCCCACAGUCAUCAUGUACCAUAAAAAAUCGCGUGCAUCGAUACAUGGUAAUUAUCAACCGUCUCCUCGAUUUGUGUGUGUGAUUAACGCACAAUGCUUGGGGAAGUGGGUGAUUUAUUGCCACGUGGUGGGACCAUCCUGUUGUCGUCUGCGUUUUACUAUGCCUAUAAAAGCUGGGAGGUAAUGAGGAGGUGGGAUUUAUGCUCUCAUUCCCCUUUGUCUUCAUCUUCUUCCUCAAGCUUCAACGUCCAAGCCUUCCCAUGUGCCCGAUUCGAAAAAUACCAUGCUAUCCACCCAUAGCCUCAUCAGCCUCCAUGGUCGGUGAGAGGAACGAGAGUCAGGGGGUGAAAGCGGCGAAUUCCGAAAAGAAGCUGACGGUGGACCCAUGUUUUUUCCCAUAUGAGGGGGAGUGGAGGCUUUCCACCAUGGAAUAGGAGCAGCUGGACUAGUUAUCCACAAUCAUGUAUCUACCUCCAUCGGGGAGCACCUCUGCCCAUUUUGUGCUCGUCAUCAAAGAUGGUGUCUCUUGGUCAAGGUGGGAUUCAUAUAGAGGUGUUUGGCUUGGGUGGCAAAGCUCCUCGCCUUGGCCUGCAAAAGGGUGCUUCUAAACAGUUUACCUGGUGAGCUGAUCUUCAACCAGCGAGGUUUGCAGUAGGGGGCCCUCUCCCCCUGCUUUUCGUUGGUGCCAUGGAUGGGCUUCACUAUCUCUUCUGAAAGGCCGAAGAGGUUGGUUUCUAUCAGAGCUUGCUCCUUUGGGAUCACGCAACUGCACCUCCAUAUAUGUCGAUGACGUGGUCAGCUUCGUCAAGUUGGAUAUACUCCGCCGCAAGGCACGCGCGGUGAUCAUUGAGGAUUUUGGGGUAGCCUCUGGACUUUGCACCUACUUUGCAAAGUGCUCGGCCCGCCCCAUCAGGUGCUCCAGUGAUCAGAUCAGGAUGGUGUGGUAGCAACUACUAUGCCCUAUUCUGUAGUCCCCUAGCCGGUACCUUGGGUUGCCCCUAGGUCUUUGUAAGCCUUCGGUAGCACAGUUGCAGACGCUAGUGGGCAAGAUGGUCCGUAGAUUAUCAGGUUGGAUAGCUUGCCUUCUAUAUCGAGGAUGACGUUUGAUCCUACUGAAAAAAAACCCUCACAGUUAUGUCGGUGCAUGCCAUGUUCGUACUGGAUAUCCCAGCAUGGUCCAUCAAGGACAUGAUCAAGAUUAUUCGUGGCUUUCUUUGGAAAGACCGACCACUCCUUCUCAGCUCGGGCGGCCUACAAGGCUCUCUUUGGCCUGCAAUGCAACGCAUAUGCAUGUAUUCAUAGUUUCAUUAUAACGUAAUAUGAUAUAUAUAAUGUUGCAAAACAAUGCAAUGGCAACAAAGAAAAUGAUUUGCUUUGCUGCCACGACGGCUCUGCUCUGAAAAGUUACCAGCGAUGGUCGUCAAAACGGGCUCGCCACUGCUAUGCCCAUAGUAUAUGAUGCAUGUCCAAACCUGACCUACCAAUGACAGAUGGCUCCGUUACCCACCACCAAUAACCGAAUUACCCGGGCACAACCAACGGCCCCAUGUCGCGACACGAGCACAGCUGCACUGGCACGAUCAAUGAUGACCCGUGCUAGCUUACGUGCCAAGCGCAACGGCAACCGCAGCCGCGCAGCGAGGCUCCGGUGUCGGGGUCGGUCGAUCAAGGUGGCGGGCGGGCAAAAGCAGAUGAGAGCCGUCGUUUUCGCUCUCCCCCGCGGACGCCCAGCUAGUUCCGGUCGUUCCGUACAUGGCAGCAGCUAGAAAAAGGUCUCCCGCCAUGAUCACAAACCCAGAAAGGGGUGGCUCGGUCGCCGUCGCGCUCCGGGACAAGAGACCCGGGCUACAUAUAGCUCCAGCUCAGGGGACUGUGUUGUCCGUGUUUCUAACCCUAGGCACCUUGGGCCCCUUGGGGGCGCACCAGCCCACCAGGGGCUGGUUCCCUCCCUUGUGCAGCCCACUAGGCCCACGGGGCAGGUGGCCCCACCCGGUGGACCCCCAAACACCUUCUGGUGGUCCCGGUACAAUACUGAUAACCCCCGAAACAUUCCAGUGACUGAAACUGGACUUCCCAUAUAUAAAUCUUCACCUCCGGACCAUUCCGGAACUCCUCGUGAUGUCCGAGAUCUCAUCCGGGACUUCGAACAACCUUCGGUAACCAGAUACUAUUUCCCAUAACAAUUCUAGUGUCACCGAACCUUAAGUGUGUAGACACUACGGGUUCGGGAACUAUGCAGACACGACCGAGACAUCUCUUCGGCCAAUAACCAACAGCGGUAUCUGGAUACCCAUGUUGGCUCCCACAUGUUCCACGAUGAUUUCGUCGGAUGAACCAUGAUGUCGGGGAUUCAAUCAAUCCCGUAUACAAUUCCCUUUGUCCAUCGGUAUGUUACUUGCCCGAGAUUCGAUCAUCGGUAUCUCUAUACCUCGUUCAAUCUCUGGCAAGUCUCUUUACUCGUUUCGUAAUGCAUGAUCAUGUCUGAAAGUGCAAUCAUGCCCUUAAUCUUAGUUUGAUGUUGAUGACAACAUGCAUUUUUGGGACUAAUCAUGUUUAUCAAGUAUAUCUCAGGAUUAUGUUUCAAGUGCUAUGUGUGUGGAUCAUGACUACAAACAAAGAGGUACAUAUUACUCAAGAGCGGAGAAUACAAAACAAAUGGCUUUGGCCCUUUCUUUCGAUUUGUUCUUGAGUAUAGGGAUCCCGCACUAUUAAGAGGGGAUCGUUGGGUUAUGUGAAAGACUUGCUCAAAAUCCACAAAACACUUUUUCUAUCAUCUCUUAGUUUUCACCAUGUGUGCACGGUCUCUUUGUGUUCUUGAAUCAGUUGGCCCAGCCUUCACAACUGACCGGACAUCCGGCGCCCACCGGAUGACCAGUACUUCUCAACAGAACCCUUAUUAGCGGAUGUACGGUUUCUUCGAACGUCCGGUACAUCUAAACAGAACUCAUAUUAAUGGAUUUCCGGUUUCUCCGGACUUCCGGUCAGCGGUCGACCGCUACUCUCCGGACGUCCGCUACCUGUGUUGUUUUAGCGGUCAGAUUUAUACUCCAGCGAGCGGACGACCGGCUGCCCGGUCGGACGUCCGGUCCGAUCUGUGUCACCGGUCGUCCGGUACCCACCGGACGUCCGGCAGCUCCUGUGCCUUAAGUGGCCAAACGGCUAGCUUUUCACUACCACUAUAUAUAGCCUUCUUCCCCCACGGGAUAGGUUUGACCACUCACUUUGAACAAACCUUAGAACACACAUUACACUCUCUCUCUCACUCCUCCACACCAAAUCUUAGAUCCCUAAGGGAUUUGAGAGCAUUUGAGAGAAGUUGUCCGAUCAAGUGAUAGAUCCACUCCUUCCCUUUUCUUUGCACCAAAGGAAACUUGAGCAAGUCUUGAGCUUUUCCCCAUCGUUCUUGUUACUCUUGGAGGUUGGAGACUUCUAGGCGAUAGGAGUCUUUCGGAGAGGAAUCGACCCUUGUGAUUACCCCUGGAAAAGUUUGUGAGGGUUCGAAGACCACCCCAAGGUCUACCACUAGUGGUUGAGAAACACCUUCGUGGUGUUGUCUCAAAGAGAGAAUAGGGUGGGCCUUCGUGGCGUUGGUGUGCCUUCGUGGUAACACCCACCUCUCUAAACGGUGACGUAGCUUCCCUCCAAGGAAGUGAACAUCGGCUUACAUCCUCGUCUCUCGGAGUUGCGGUUAUCCCUAACCUUAACUCUCUACUUGUGGUUACUUGUCUCGUCUGCACUUACCUAUAUCAUAUUGUGCUAGCUUACUCAUCUACUUGUAUUACUUGAUUAUCUUGUUUAGCUCUUAGCAUCACACUUGCAAUUGUUAGGCUCACUUUCAUAUUCCGCACUAUUGCCUAAAAUUGCCAAGUAACAAUUAAAAUUUGUAUUUGUACCUAUUCACCCCGCCCCCUCUAGGUCCAUCUCGAUCCUUUCACCAUGGCUAACUCCUUAGUCACACUGAGCUCGUUAUGAUGAUGCAUUACCGAGUGGGCCCAGAGAUACCUCUCUGUCAUAUGGAGUGAUAAAUCCCAGUCUUGAUUCAUGCCAACCCAACAGAUACUUUUGGAGAUAGAUGUAGUGCACCUUUAUAGCCACCCAGUUAUGUUGUGAUGUUUGGUAUACCCAAAGCAUUCCUAUGGUAUCCGGGAGUUGCACAAUCUCAUGAUCUAAGGAAAUGAUACUUGACAUUAGAAAAGCUUUAGCAAACGAACUACACGAUCUUGUGCUACGCUUAGGAUUGGGUCUUGUCCAUCACAUCAUUCUCCUAAUGAUGUCAUCCCGUUAUCAAUGACAUCCAAUGUCCAUGGUCAGGAAACCAUGACCAUCUAUUGACCAACGAGCUAGUCAACUAGAGGCUUACUAGGAAUAUAUUACGAUCUAUGUGCUAUGUAUUCACACAUGUAUUGCGGAUUCCGGUUAAUACAAUUAUAGCAUGAACAAUAGACAAUUAUCAUGAACAUGAAAAUAUAAUAAUAACCACUUUAUUAUUGCCUCUAGGGCAUAUUUCCCACAGUGGCUUCGCAAGAUCUUUGGAUAUGGCAUUCUUUCUUCGGCAUGGCAGGUUCUCACAAUGAUAUCAACGUGCUGCAGUGUUCUCCAGUCUUCGCAAGGCUUGCAGAAGGCCACUCCCCACCUGUUAACUUUGAGAUCAAUAGCCACAAGUACAACAAGGGAUACUACCUAGCUGAUGGUAUUUAUCCUCAGUGGUCAACUUUUGUGAAGACAAUCUCGAACCCUCAAGAUUACAAGAGACAGAGAUUUGCCCAAAUGCAAGAGAGUGCUAGAAAGGAUGUGGAACGUGCUUGAGGUGUGCUUCAAAUCCGAUGGGAUACCGUUCAAAACCCUGCACUAACAUGUGAUGAAGCAAAGCUUUGGGAGGUGAGGACUGCUUGUGUGAUCAUGCACAACAUGAUCGUCGAGGACGAGCGUGAUAACAACAUCUUCGACCAAGGGUUUGAUUUUCAAGAUGAAAAUGUUGAGCCCCUGCACCAAGAACCGGCCACGUUUGAACAGUUUGCUCAAUUUCAUCGUGAAAUGUGUGAUUCACACUCAUUUGAAUCUUUAAAAUGACUUGGUUGAGCACAUGUGGAAUCAUAUUGGCAACCAAUAGAUGUAUUGGUUCAUUAUGUUCAUUCAAGAUAAUUUCGAUUUGAUUGUAAAACUAUUUUAUUAAAGACGAUUUCAACUGGGUUGUAAAACUAUUUUUAUUUGAGACAAAUAAUAUUUGGACGUGCAAACUAGUUUGGAACAUUGAAAUAUGAAUAUAUGGGCAUUUUGACCAUGGCGGACAGGAUGGGGUCAAAGGAUGCGUCUGCACGUUGGGCGCACGGCUCCGAAAAGUUACUAGUGAUGGUCGUCAAAAUGGGCUCGCCACUGAUAUGCCCGUGGUGUAUGGCUGGUCACUCAUGCCUGACCAGACCUACCAUCUACCAACGACAGAUGGCUCCGUUACACGCCACCAAUAACCGAAUUGCCUGGGGACAACCGACGACCUCAUGUCACGACACGAGCACAGCUGCACUGGCACGAUCAACGACGACCCGCCUAGCUUACGUGCCGAGCGCGAACGCAACCGCAACCGCGCAGCUCGGCUCCGGUGUCGGGGUCGGCCGAUCAAGGUGGCGGGCGGGCAAAAGCAGAUGAGAGCCGUCGCUCUCCGGUCGUUUCGUACGUGGCUGCAGCUAGAAAAAGGUCUCCCGCCACGAUCACGGACCCGGAAAGGGGUGGCUCGGUCGCCGUCGCGCUCCGUCCCUGUCACCCGCGCUCCGGGACAAGAGACCCGGGCUACGAGUAGCUCCAGCGACUUGCCAGGGACUGUGCUGUCCGUGUAGCCGGCACUGCACACACGGCGACACCGCGCGCCCCGGCCAACUUUCAUCGUACUGCCACGAGUGGACGGUCCGAUUUGAGGCCCCAACAGUAUCACUGUGGUGCUACGCUCCGUGUCGAAACCAAAAGGGACGCCGCACUGAGAGGAGUCCUCAGGCCAAAAAGAUAAAAAAUCCGAGAAGAAUUUCCGGCCCACGACAACCCAACCCUCUGAUAGAUCAUCAAGUUAAAAAAAGAACCUCUCUCAUAGAUCUCUUGCCCGGGAAAAGUGACGCCGGGCUGCCUCACUGGUCGACUAAACUAAGCUAAUCAGUCCAUAUGAUACAGAAAAGCUGGAUAUUAGUGGCCGCGUGCGCAAUGAGGACGCCAUUGACGCCACUGCACGCAGCACACCGUCGUUGUUAAUCAGCCAACCCGUCGUCAACCCACGCACGCACCCACCCAGCAGCACAGCACAGAGCCAUACAUGCACGCACCCAGCGACCACAACAGUCUAGAAGCCCGGAAACGAUCGAGCAUUCGAGCUCAAAAGGACGCCUUGCAUUGCACCGGCAGAAAAGCGAGGGGUGCCUUCGUUCGCUGCACCGCAGCAUCUGCACCGAUACUGUUCCUCCAAGGAAGGACCUGACGGAUGUUGUCACCGCGCACUGACCCGACCUCCAUUGCUCCCUCGCCUGCUUUACCACCCAGAGCUCGUUUUAAACGGAAAAGAGGCAGGGGAGUGGGUUCCGGGGGGACGUAUGUUGACCUCUGGGGUCUGGGCGUGGGCGGCAAGUUUGCUAAUCGCUAGCUAGCUCAUGCUCCAUUACCGCGUCGCGACGUAAAACUAAAAGAACGGCGAGGAGUGCACAGAGACAGACAGUGAGCCAGAUAGCAUAAACUAUGGCGCCUGGCAUCUUGCCUACGUCGAAGUCUCCGUCCGUCGUCCAAGUAUCUAGCGCCACAGGUGACUGAUAUUUGAUGGUGGUCUAGAUCCUGGCUGCCUCUGGUUGGAAUUCCUACGUGCACGGAACUCGUGUCGCGCAUUAUAAAGCAAACCAGCAAAGCAGCAUACAAAAUCUAGCAAGAGAUGCAGUGACGACAUGACACGAGACCAACCGGAGAUCUUUCUUACCAAGGCCAUGCUUCGUUGGUUGGUAGCCAAAAAUUUUGGCACGCCAACAACGUUUGGCAGGCCCGGGAGCUGCCGAAAACGGCAAGUUUUGUGAGGCUUGGCAAGGUAAAUUGGCAAGAGCGAACCGAGUGAGCUUACAGGUGACGGGGCCCACCUGUAACGGGCCUGGGGGUCCACGGUGCCAGUGACAGUCACCCUCUGCUGCUUCCUGUUCACCUCUACGCGUUCCACACCUGCAACUCCAAAAAAAAACCUCUCGUCAAAAAAAGAACCACUAGCUCGGUAGCUCCUACUAGUAAAAAUCAGUGCUGACAAAAGUUAAAAUGGACGCUAAGCCAAAUCACAGAAAGGGAAAACGAGACUAUUUAUUCGCUAAGUAAACUAGUCGGACAUGAGCGCGAAAAUGGGGGGUUCAUCAUCUUUUCUGAGCAGAUGCUUCAGUGUUGUAGCGACAGGUGUACGGGCUAAGGAAAAGCUUAGGCAGACAUGACACGACGGGCAUUAUUGAUCAGGAGCUACAUGCUGUUGUCUACUACGCUCUAGACGGCGACGAACAUGGAAAGGCACUGCCCUAGCCUCCUAGGCACGAUGGCGACGAGCAGAGGAAACAAGACAAUGUGACCGACCUCAAUGAGUGACCGACGGAACGAACUGAACUAACCUCGCAUGCCGGCGAGUGCCUUCUUGACCUGGCGCUCGCAGUCCAUCCGGACCCUGAGCUCCACUGUCUGCGGCCGCGUGCCCUCCUUCUUGGUGCCCCUCUGGCCUCCACCCACCGCUCCCAGCAGGCUCGCCACCAGCUGCUUUAUGCCGCUUCCCAUGGAGAACGAACGCAGCGGGAGGCUCACUGGAAGUGGGUGAAUGAGUGACGAGUGAGUGAGUGAGUGAAGCAAGAAGCCUGCCUGAGUGGAGGGCCUAGGCAGCUAGUGCUGUGUCGUGCAUGCAUAAUGGCACGGCAUUGUCUGGCUGGCUUUGUAAGAGGCCGGCCGGGGAACUGCUCAAAGGCGACCUGGAGAAGGCAAUGGCGCCUCGGCGAGGGGACAGGAGAGACGGGGGGCUGGUGUGUAUGCGUGUGUGUGUGGAGGCUGACAAGAGAGCACGAAGAGAGGAGGUCGGGGAGAAGUGACGGAGCCGUGGCCCGUGGUGGUGGUGGUGGUGCGAGGCCUCUCCUCUCAGAGCCAGCCUCAUGUGACUGACGACGACGGUCGUGCACGCAGUGGCUCGGUGCGGGCGGUUGUGUGUUGCAGUAGGCCGAGCCUUCCGGCUUUGGGAGAGCGGUGCAGUGCAGAGUGCAGAGUGCAGAAGUGCAGAAGUGCACGGCGCAAGAAAUCGCCUGCAAAUCUGCGGCCUGGGAAAAAGGGAUUCGCACAUGCGUGUGAAACAUCACUGCCAUCGAUGGACGGAUGACUGCACGGACAAGCUCUUCCUCCUCUUCCUAUCCUCCUCCGGCUUCAUGGUUUUUGCACCGUUUCCUUGUAGCACAGGAAACUAUGGGCAGAUGUCGUGAUGAUGUUUAGCAGCAAACCCAUCUGUAAAGUGAAAUGUUCUUCUAAGAUUGGUGACGAGCGAUUGGCGAGUGACCCAUUCGCUGGCGGAGUGGAGUUCUACCCCUACGCUUAAACUCGGGAAGCGCUUCCGAAACAGGUGACAAACGGGACUUAUGCGAUAUACAGGGGCUAUCACCAGUUAGGUUUAUUCAGUUGCUGAUUCAUGAGAUGAAGAACACGGUGGAGAUGGUCAGAAACAGCAGCCAGCAACAGUUGGCGAGUAGCUUAUGUAAGUUCGACGGCCCGCUCGAGGAGGUCGGCGCCUUGCCUGCGACGGCAGGAGGCGUCACGGUGGGAGAGGUCUGCUGCUCGCUCGACGGCAGCGGAUCCCCCGGGCUGUGGUGCUGCGACGGGCCCAAGGGCACCGUCGUGCUGUUGUCAAGAUCAUGGCCUGCGUACAAGGGAGAGAGCGUUAACAUUUCAUGGAUUGAUUGGGAGGUAAAUUCGUUUCUUUUUGGACUAGUUUCUGACUUACACUCAGACCGGUACCAGCCCAGCUUCAUGUUCUCUUUGUCAAAAACAAUGUGGUAUCCAGUCAGGAAGUUCUCUGCACCCACGGAUACCAGGUAAGCUAAUUUUCAAAAUUAAAAUAAAAUUUGAGACUACAUGUUAACCCAGGAUUAAAGCACUCACGUCCAAUGAUUCCAAUAGGCUCUGGUGACUUCUGAACAGCUAAGCAAAAGCCAGCAAUCGAUCCCUGAACAUUAGCAAAUGAGAUGGUAUCACCGAGCCGCAAAACAGCUACAGUUCUAUUUCAUAAUGACAAAUAUAUAUUUUUCUCUCAAAAUGACACAUCUGCCUUUUGUGUACAAACAUGUGGGUUUUGUAUCAUAUGUAUAUGUUACAACAAAUCAGGCAGUAAGUUUAUGCGCUGUGAGCACAUUACAGAAGGGCUCAGCUGUCAAAAGAUAAAUGGCAUCACUAAUGGUACUCUCAUAGUUUACCUUGACUUUGUUUUUACUAAAAUCUAAUAACAUUGUGCAAUGAGCAUAGAAACAAUUGAUGACAGGUUCAAGUUCGCACCACACAUGCAAACUCCACAUUACACUAUAACAACUUUUAAUAGAUGAGCCUAGCAAGCGCCAAACUAUAGAAAUCAUUCUAGUACAGUAUCUUGUUUUCGCAGUUGAGCCAUUUUACGCACCAACUAUAUUUGUUUAAUCAAUAAACUGUGGGAGAACACACAGGAAGGAGCAUUUGAAUGCAGUAUACUAUAUCGGUUAUGUAAGGGAGAUAACUGGAGCUAGCUCUUUAAGAAAGAAGAGAAAAAUACAAAUGGAGUCGAUUUGCGCAUAAUAACUUGUUCUUGGGAACAUUUUUUAUAAGGAGUCCCGCCUUUGGACGCUUAGGCAGCAAGGCACCCUGUCAGCACCUUGACAUCAUGCCCGCUUUUGGCGCUUAGGCGUAAGGCUGUUGGUGCUCGCCUUAGGUCGCCUUACCACCUUAUAAACAAUGCUCAGCAAUGAACACAACAUAACUUGCAUUUUUUUUCCUGAGACAAAAAAGACAUACCUCUCCGUUCUUGCGUACAAUUGUAGGAUUAACGACCUGAAAGCUCUUGUUUGCAGAUAAAUUAAGAGUUACAGUUGGCACGUCAGGCAUCUCCAGAGGACUGAAAUCACAAACCAGUACAAAUGAAAAUGUCAAAAAUCAAACUAGCUCCUGGUGAGUGGUGACCUAAAGUGCAGUCAGAAUUCGGAAGUUACCUGGCACUGUAGCAGUAUUCAAAAGAAUCAUCUUCCUGGGUUAUUCUUGAGGCAUUAACUUGUUUGUCAAACUGCAAAUUUAUAAUGGAUCAGUAACAAAAUUUAUCUACGAGUGAGAGAUCUGUAAAGGGGUAUGUAUCCACCUCGACAGUGACAGCCUUGUAAACAUUCAGGGGAAGAGCUGUGAAUGAUGUUCCACUAUCAACUAUGGCCUCGAAGUUAGUACCCUCAAAACAUUUGUGGCCAACACAAGAUUUGUCGACAUUAACAGCAUAAGUUUGACUGGGAGGAAAAUAAACACGGAUGUCAGUGGAGCUAGAAAUAACUUGAGAAUCACUAAAGCAACUAAAGACCAUUCCAAGGAACUCACAAUUUGCCAUAUAAAGGAACAAAUGGCGUCGACUGUUGGGUAGACACUCCUUGAUCACCAAAGAAAAUUCUCCCAGAAUAUUCCUUGAAACACAUCGAAAAGGAAUUUCGAACUAAUCCAGCUCUUGCAAGGAAGCUAGGAACUGAGAUAUCUGCCAUCCCAAGGCCAAGAAGUCCAUCUGGUGCAAUACCAUCCAAAUAGCUACCACUUUGCUUCCUACCACAACUAUAAAAAAAGGAUACACUAACUUAGUAAAACUGGAAAACUACAGCAAUCAUGCGACUAGAAUUCUUCAGUACAGAAGCAUCAUCCGUCAUGCCAACAAUUAUGUUUCAAGAGUGCAUAGAAGGAUCAACAUAACACAAAAAAUAUGCAACACAAAGAAUGGUAACAGCUUAAAAUGCCAUCUGUAGGCAACUGGAUGAAUAUGAAUAUAUGAUGCAGGUCCAGGUGGACACAGUAUGCAACUACCCACAGCAGAAAACAAGCAGAAAUGAAGAAUGCCCACACGCGGGAAAAACAUACCAAUUGUGACUGUUAUUUGCCAAAUAAUGGAAUACAAGCAUAAACUCAUAGAGAGAGCAAUGACAGCUGGUACAAAACUUACCCUAUAAUGACUGAAGCCUUCACUGGUGCAUGGCUCUCUCUGGAGUUCAAGUGUAGAACAUCCUCAAUUAGUAAACCUGAGCUGGUUGUGUUUUCUUGAAGAUAGUCAGUGCUGUAUGGGCAAGGCUGCUUUGGGCUUGAACAGCCUGAACCUGAUGAGCAAAGCUCAUGGCUGCAGGGCAAAUGCCGACUCGUUGUUGAUUCAGCUGGUUUGUAAAUCCCGAGAUCUCUAUCCUGCAUAAUAGAUGCUCCAUAUAUGACGGAGCACCUGCCAAUCAAUCAUUGCAAAUAAGCACUAAAACUGCUUCCCAAUUUGUACAAGUCCUCUUGUUUGUGUAUUUCUAUCAAGUAAUAUAAGCAACUUUAGGAUCGAUAAAAUUCAACAGAAAAUUUUCACCAGAGAUCACUAAAUAUGUCUCCAAGUGCCAGUUGGGCUUAAAUUGGAAAUUGUGCAGCUCACGUUAUUGUGACUUUUUCAAUUAAAAGUGGCAGUGGUAUCAAAGGUGCAAAACUAACUUGGACAUCUAUGUGAAUCGUCUCCCCUAAAUUGAAUGGAACGUUAAUUAAGUACCAGGAAACAGUCGAAACGUACACGCCGUGUAUUAGUUUCUUCAAUCUACAAGGAUACUAUUAUCACAUGCUUUAAUGUUUUACUUUGGGAGAAAGGAGUUAACUAUGCGCAAGCAUCAUUUCUUUUCUUUUUGCAAUAGCAUGUGCAAGCCUCUACAGCAUGCAUCUGGUCAAAUUGACACGAGCAUUUCCAAAUCCAGCAUCUGCAGACCCUAACACAAUGUUACUGUUCAAAAAAGGGUGCGUACCAAAGUUUCACGGUAGCCAGCCAAUGGAGCACACUCGAUACAAUCACAGGGUACCCAGAACAGAUCACUUCCAGUAUCCAAUGCGACCAUAAAGGAAGUGUUCGGCGUCCCGACAUCCACCCAUGUGUAAUACAACCUGCACAGACAGGGGUAACGCCAUUAGUAAUCAGUAAAGCUAAGCUUCGGUCCAUCAUAGAUUCACUUCACAAUGUAACACACACACACACCCAACAAAGCAAAGCAACUUCUCUUUUUCUAAUUCUGUGUUUCUCUAUUAUAAAUAUGAUGUAAAGCUAACUGGGUCUGGUAGAGCAUUGGAAAAUAAGCUUCUGCAUUAACAGUACAGUUCAGCAGUAAAAGGUGCUGAGGAAUGCAGCAAGACCAGACGGCCGGGCCGCCGAGGCGAGGGUGAGUGAGCGCGACGCACCAGCCGAAAUCGUUGCCGGGGGAGAAGAUGCCGCCGGCUUCCGAGACGGAGAGGAGCUGGUGCUUGCGCUUCUGCCGCUGGAGGUCGCUCCGCACCAGCGCGCGGUAGUAGCCCCCGCUCCCGUGCGGCGGCCACCGCGCCGCCCCGUGGGGCCCCGCCGCCACACGCGCCUCGUCGGAGAGCCGGUGCACCAUCCUCGUCGAGAGCGUCGCCGCGGCGGCCGGCGCCGACGCCGCCGCGGCGAGCAGGGCGAGGAGGAGGAGCGGGAGGCGCAUGGGCGGAUCUGGGCGGCCGACGGCGGAUCUGCCGGAAAUGCGGGGAGGUGGCCGGAGGAGGGGGGCCUGGGGCUAGGGUUUGUUUGCUGGGUGGCCGGCGAGGAGCGGGGAGGUGGCGGGGGUGGGUGGGGAGCGUGACGGUGGAGGGGCUGCUUGGGCGGUGCGGUGGUGGUGGUGGUGAUGGUGGCCUGGAAGUUUGCGCAGAAAAGAGGACGACAGAGAAGGUUUUGGCAGUUUUGCGAAAUGGCCACUGAAGAAACCCUGUAUUUUGGUUGAGUCCCGCUUAGCAGAGUCGUUGCCACUCAUUGGUCCCUCGGUCGCAGUUUUGUCACUUUUAUGCUUCUAUUUUUUUUUUUUUGAGAUAGUCACUUUUGCAUGUUGAUACUAAUCUACUGGCUAAAUAAAAUCAGACCAUCUCUUUCCCGCAAAAAAAAAUCAGACCACCUCUGAAAAAACACUGUAAGGACUAACCGACAUAUUAGGGGCCUUCUCUAGGUGUUUCUUGGCUAUUUUGCUUGCAUAAAUUGAGAGUCGAAGCAUUCUAAACGUGUGCGUGCAACGGAUUGGACGAGUCGCUACGUUCUCUGCAUGGGCCGCUCUGCAUAGCGUCGUGCACGUGUGCAUCGAUUAGUGGAUCGGGGAAAGCGGGAAGGAGGGGCAAAAUCGAAACAGAAGGCUAUGAAAAGUUGAAACUUCUGGAGUAUUUUAAAAAAGUACAAUACAUUUAUAAACACAGUAAAUUCAAAUUAAGGGAAUACUAGCUACUCAAACACCCUUGUGUAUUAUUUGUUGUGUGAGUGUAACUGGUAACUGCCCAUAAGAGGAUAAGUCAUAUGUCAUAAUAUUACACUUUAUCAUGGAUGCAUAAUAUCUUAACGGAUUUAAAAAACGAGUUCCAUGUAGAAAUGAACAAAGCGGUUCACGAUUUCAUGUAACAUUUGAAUGUUUCUGUUUCAGAUAUUAACAUUUGAAUGUUCGAAAGCAAAAUGGGAGAAUUUCCAUUGAUAGGGUGGUAGGACGGUAUUUUUCUAGAGUAUUUAGUACUACAAGAUGGCACUCCAUUCGGUUUUUUUUUGGGUCUGCAUAUAAAAUUUGGUAUAUGUCAACACCUACAAUACUAAAGUUAUAUGGUAUAAAAAUUAAUUUAAUGACGCAUGUGAAUCUCGAUAUUUUUUCUUAUAUACUUACUCAAAAAUUGACUUUCAAUUUCUUUAUAUAUACGGACUAAAAAGAAAUGGAGAGGGUUCUUUCCUUGUUUACGUUAGCAGACAAGAUGGGACUAAAAGAUUGUUGGGGUGGUGAAUUGGGAAAACCUGAUCGAAAUACCGAAAGGAGCUGCCUUGUGAAUUGUCGGAAGCAUGAGGGCCUACUCGUUUGUUUUUGCUGAUUAUUAUUGGGGCUUUUUAACAGCAACGGUCGUUUCAACCACAUGACCGGAGUCCCCACAGGCCACAGCCAGAGUCCACAGUCCACUCGAGGCGCGUGCUGGUCCCCACGUGGCGGCGGGACGGCCGCUACGUCCUCGCUGCCUUUCUAGGUGCGGGGCCCAUCAAAUGGACGGUGCAGAUGCUGCUGAAGCGCCGGUCAGGGAUGGAUAUCAUAUCCCCGUGGCAGCUGCUGCACGAGACUGAUUUGCUGCUGAACCCCGUGACAGCAAAAAGAAAUUUACCCUUUCAAAAAAAAAAAAAGAAAUUUACGUGUACCGCUGGCGCUCAAGACGGUUCCCAACGCCUAAUGUUGAGUGCCACCGGAUAUCUAUCUAUCCGUAGGCACGAAUGCCACGAGCAGCGUGACAAGUCCAUCUCAUGUUUCUACUACUUUACACAAUUAUCAUUAUCAUGGAUCGAGGAGCUAUUUUGGUAGUACGACCUUUGACAAGGGCCGGGCUCCUUUCGCUGUACCUUUCGACGCGCACGCCACUUUGCAUGAUGAUGAUGAUCUUCAUCAUGAGGAAAAGGCUCUUUGCCGAUGCAAAAGUCAGCCGCUAGCGCUACGAACAAAACCGAGAGUGGCGGUGCAGGUGCGCGAUCGCCAGAAACCCUACGGGAGGGGAGAGGAGCGGUCCGGAGCGCCGGCGGAGUUCGCCUGAGUUUCGAGCGUCCGGUAGAUAGAUUCAGAGACGCCUGUGCCUGUGCCUGUGCCCUACUGCACCUGUUCGUGUUUGCAGUAUACUAGUACGUGUAAAUCCUGUUCGCUGCGCUGGCCGGCUGGCCUCGUGCCACGUAAACUAAGCAAGGUUCUGAAAAAAAAACUUAAAAAGCAAGGCUCGCAGGGCUGCGCGCACUGUUGGUUUGGUUGGGAAAGGCACGAAUGCCGGUGCUGAUCCUGCCGCUUCCAGGGACACGUGUUGCGAGCUGCGACACGCCGAGCGGCGCGACCCGCGCGACGCGCACCUCUGUUUCGGUUUCAUUUUGCUUUUCGGACAAAGUCGAAAACAAACGUUGAAUCUGUAGAAGAAAGAUAAGUCAAACCCUAAAACUUUGAAUCAACUUGUCAAUCCCCUUCAUCAUGCUUUAUGUUUUCACUGCUUUUCUUUGCAUUUUUCUCUUUGUUAUAUGGGAAACGACUAGUUUCACCCGGCUGAUUUUAGCGUGCGUCCGCCGCCCGCUGUGCCGUUGGAUCCCUGAUCCGUUUCUCCUGCCAUACACAGUGUCUCCACGUUCAUCCCUUGCACAUGUGUGGUCCUCGUGGGAUAUUAGCUUAUUCUUAUCCAUAUAUGUUUGAUUUUUACUGCCGCACACACUACUUCGCGCACUGCUGCCAUGUACAACACACCAUAGCUGUCUUUUCCAACGGCAUAUCCUGUGCGUCUUUAGAGAUGUGGUUUCAGCAAAAUCGAUAGGUUGCAAAGUGCUUCUAUGGUUUAUUUUUUUUUAGGAAAACGCUUGGCUUCUACCGGCGGAUCGCACGCGAGCAUUCGCCGACUCGUCUGUACGACACGUGUCCCGAGGGAGCGGUCUUUUUUUUUCGGUCAACGUGGCCACUGCUCGCUGCUCAAUGUCCACUACGAUGAGUUUUCGCGGCAAGGUCUAUUGUAGUAAAAACUGCAACAAGACUUCUGUUCAGAAAAAUUAAAUUUAAAGCGAGACCGUUGUUGCUAAAAAAACUAAAUUGCAACAAGACCUCUGUUGCAAAAAAAAUGAAACAAGAACUCUGUUACAAAAAAAGUAAAUUGCAACAAGGUCUCUGUUGCAAAAAAAAAUCUUGCAAAAAUUUCCGCAACAUGAGUCGUGUUGCAGAAAAUUCCCACAACAUGACCUAUGUUGCAAUGAUAAAAGGGUGACGCUCAGUCGCUCAAUUCGAAUCCGUUGCAAAUUCUUUUUUGAAACAAGGCCUUUGUUGUCAGAAAUACUGUAACAGAGCUUUUGUUGCAAAAAUAAUUAUUUUGCAACAGAUCUCUAUUGCAAGAAAAAAAUGCAACUUAAGCUAUGUAGUAAAAAUUUCCGUAAAAUGACCCGUAUUGCAAAAAAAUUCCGCAACACGACCUGUGUUGCAAUAAUAGAGGAUGACACUCGGUCAAUAAAUCUGUCUGAUCCUACAGCUCGCGAGGCGGAGGAUCUUUUAAAAAGAUCCGCCGGCCGACACGUAGCGUUGCCCUUUCUUGAAAGCAUUUUGGAGUGCUAAUUUUGUUUUCCAUAACUUCCACGAAUGUCAAUUUUGUGCUGAAAUUUGUCGAGCACGCAAAACAUUUGUCAAAGUUUGUGAUUUUUAGGAUUUUUCCUAUUCAUCGCGAGCUCACUUGAGCUCGGGAACAGAAGAGGACUGUCAUGUCGUUGCUUUCACUACACAUGUUGUUUUCAAAUUAAACCCAGUGUACAUCAAAAUAGAAGGUGCUACCUGAUUGGGGGGGGAAGGGGGAGACAAGAGAAAUAUGUACAAUGUUAAUUGCAGGACGUAAAUAAAACUCAUCAACAGGGUUCUUCCAAAAUUGAUAGGAACUCUAAAAAAAAUCUAUGGCACAAUCCUACGGUAAGAAAUGUUUACAAAUAUUAGUUUUUUCCUCUAUGGUUGCACUUGCAUUUUUUAUAGGCUUCAAACAUUCUGUAUGAUGGGGCAUCAAGUAAAUUUCUUAGCUUUUCAGUUAGGUACAAUUCUAUGAUUAACAAGAUACGAAUAUUUUUUUUCUUUUUCCAAAAAGGUCAAAGGCAAAUCCUUACAAAAUGACCCUUACCGGAAAUGAGAAGUACAUCCAUAUUCUUGGAGUUCCUCACGCAUCCACCGACGGCGUGUCAUGAGCAAAACUUGUUUCUGCUUUGAGACUCCGACUCAAUGAAUUAACUUGUUAAAAUGUACGAAUUUGUAGAAGUAGCGGUCGAAAAGUUGCCGAAGACCAGAAGACACAAACAUCAACGAGCUAAGUAGCAAAUCGUCACCCUGAAGAAGAAAACGCUGAAUAUGGCCCGUAACUAACUCAAUACUCUAGUAAACAAUGCAUAAAAAUGUUUUUUAUGCGGCAUGAGUAACUAAUUCAAUAAUAGGGAAAUUUUAGUUUUUUUCAUUAUAUAUUUUGCCAAUUUUCCUUUUGCCACUCUAGAUUUUGACAUUUCACUUUUGCCACUCUUAGUUUUUGACAAUUAUCACAACUGUCAUUCCCGUGGCAAAAACAACAUUUUCAGAGUGGCAAUUGUAAUACAUUUCAAAAGCUAAGAUUGGCAAAAAUGAAAUAAAAACAUUUUGGUUUUGCCACGGAAUGACAAUUGUGAUAAUUAUCAAAAGCUAAAAGUGGCAAAAGUGAAAUGUCAAAAAUCUAGAAUGGCAUAAAGAAAAUUGACAAAAACAAAAAUUUCCCGCAUAAAAAAUGUGUGGUCGCACAUUGUGAUGCUAGAUUGCUAGGUGGUUCCCAUCACGGUCCGCCUCAUGUCUCAACAAUCAAGUCUCAACGACCGAAGUACUAGGUGGCCGUUCUCUCUCACGCCCGGGAACAGUGCAAACAGAUACUUAGACGCCUCCACAUUUCACUCACCGAUCCAUGGGCGCCCCAGCGUCAAACCAGAAAAACCGUAGUCUGCGGGAUGAUGCUAUUUUGCGAUAACAACCGACCGAGGCUCUCAAACAGAAAGCAAAAGGAAAAGGUUCAAAAUAAACCUUAAACUUGUAGAUGAAAGAUAAAAUAAAUCCUGAACUUUGAAUCCCAAAAAAUGGUACUUUGAACUUGUCAAUCUCGGUCUAUUUCGAAUCCUAGAACUGUUUGGCACACUGAGAGUACUCAAUCUCGGUCGGAUAACGUGCUACUCCCACGAACGAGAAUUUGGGCCGGCCCAGUAUACCACAACGAGGUAGGCAGUUUUCGAAAUGUUCAUGUUUUUAAUAAAAAUUCAAAAAAUGUUCGUAUUUGCAAAAAAAAUCAUAAAUACAAUUUUUUUGGGAUUUCAAAAGUAUGUCCAGUGUUUUAAAACAAAUCGUGUUUUUGGAAAAUAUUCAGGAAUUUCCAAAAAGUUCAUGUUUCUAAAAAUUUGUACAAAAUUCCAAAUAAUGUUUGUCUUUUUCAAACUUGGUUCAUAAAUUCAGGAAAAAUAAAGAAUUUGACAAAAUGUUCCCAGAUUUUAAAAAUUGUUCAGAAAUAAAAAAACAAUCUUAUUUUCUAUUGUUAUGAUAACUUUAAAAAAUAGUGUUUUUCAAUAAAUGCUUGGACAAUUAAAAUUCUGUUUGCAUUUUUAAGGACUGUUCACAAUUUCAAAAAUUGUUCACAUUUUUCAAUAAAAAUUAGAAUUACAAAAGUUUUUCACACCUUUAAAAAAAUGUUUUGAAUUUUAGAAAUGGUGUCACAUUCUUUAAAACAUUUUUUGGAAUUUUGUAGAUUGUUUUGGUUAAAAAACGUAUUUGGAAAUUCAAAUUUGUUCACAUUUUAUUUCAAGAAAAGUUUCAAUUCUUUUUAAAAAAUGUUUUCAUAUAUGAAUGCUAAUGUGUUUUCUUAUACAUGUCACGUUGUCUAUCAUGUAUGCGUGCUCGAGUGCGAGGUCCCGAAUUCAAGUCUUCGCAAGCUCCCUGGUUUCGUUAUAGAAGACUAGUGGCUUUGUGCAUUCGCAAAAUACGACGGUGUAUUCAAAAGAAAACAUGCAUUUAAAGAAUGUAUAUUAUGUAUUUAAAAAAUAUCCAAAGUAUUUUUAAAAAAGUUUCAUUUUUGUGCUAAAAAUGUACAUUGUGUACUGAGAAAAAAUAGACAUGUGUCAAAAAAACAAAACCGAUUAAAACCAGCAAAGAAAAAAAGAAAAAGAACCAAAUAAUACGAAGAAAACCAAGAAAGAAAUAAAAUAAAACCCAAAAAUAUAACAGCGGGCGGCGGACGCACGCUAAAAUCAGCCGGGUGAAACUAAUCGUUUCCCUUCAAGAAAAGCAUUUUUGGAACAUCGAUUUUUUUUCAUGAAUGCCACUUCUUGAUAUUUUUUUUGCAAGCAUAUUAAACAUUUGUCAAAAUUUACCACAAACAAAUCAAUUUAUUUAUUCAUCUUUACUAUUUUCUUUGAUUUUACUAUUUAUCAGGGAGCACUUAAGCUCGGGAGCAGAUACUCUGCGUCCACCACAACACCACUUUUCAUGUCAAACUGGUAGGUAAAUCCAUGAGCACACACCAUUUUUAUCUUCUUUUAUAAAACCGAAAGACGCCAACACUGUUUUUCAUUUGAUUACGGAGUACAAACAAUACAAGGUAGUUAAAUACAAAGACCAACGCCACCAGCAUCGUCAAAAAUAGUGGAGCAAUAACCCUCGGCCUAAAGUUGAAGGGAGGCUUUUCUUCUAACCAACAAUACACAAUGCAUCUCAAAAAAAAAAACAAUACACAAUGCAGGAAUGAUGUCCAAGGAGAACAAUGACAACCAAGAAUGGAUCUACUCGCAAACCCAGGUUUAGAAAGUACGAGCAGACCCGCCCAAAUGAUCGUAACAUAUCUAGUACAUUGCCAUCACAAUGCAUGCCAAACUCAACCCUCUCGAGCUGGCAACCACUCUGCCCCAUAUUGAACUACAAUCCACUGUGAACAUAACACCAACAUGUGGUGAGCUAACCAACUCAUGCCGAAAAACGGAGGUCUACAUCACCAACCUUCAUCUAAGAGAAGCAAUGCUUUGCUUUGAGCCUCCGUCGUCUAGUUGCCAUUGCAGCGACACCCCGAAAAUUCGCAGGCACAUAGCUAUGGGGGCACACACCUGCUCAGACGUGCCCGGACGCAUGAUUGCCUCGCGAUUCGUAAAGCCGUUGCAUUUCGCGUGAGGGCACACCAAGUUUUAAGUGAAACUUGUGAUUUUUCUCAUUCUAUGCACCAAGUUUCAGCAACUGAAACUGAACAAAGUUUUAAAAACUAGUCGAAACAUAAUCAAGAUGGGUCUUAUUUGAAAUCCCUCGUCACAAGAAACAUGAAUAUGAAAACAAAACUUAAAUUGGACUUUCGGUUCAAAAGAUACGAAAUAUAAAAUCAAAAUCCAAAAGAAAAUAGGGUUGGUGCCUCUGCUGCCCAUGCCACAAAUCCUCUCUCAACGACACCUCUCGCAUAAAAGGGGAGGGAGUAAAGCAAACCAGAUCUACUCCCUAAUACAAGUUCGAAUUGAACUUGACGGUCGUCAAACUAGACCGGCACACACAUAGUGCACCACCCAUGCAAGUACAUCAGGCGAUCCACCAUAGCUCACCAUGGCAGUAAUGAAGGAAGCUGGUAGAUCUAGGGCGGCACAACACAUUACCGCUAUGGCUGUCAUGGGUGAGCAUGCAUCCACCCGACAACCUCCUCGUUGCACUUAACAACACCCUGAGAAGCCGCACACCAUCCCAACCCAAUAGCACUUUCGGACACCAUCCCCUUAACUGAAUACAACACCCACACCAGAUCCACAAUGUGGCCAUGCCAAGCUACCCUUCGUAGGCACAACACAACCAUUGGACCUCCUAGAUCUUCUGUGCCAUUGUUGAAGCCCAUGGCUCUGCCGUAACCAAAUAUGAAGGUGGAAACUCACACAGGUGUGUUGGGAGAGAGAGGGAGACAAGGAGAAGAGAGAGAGGGUGGGGGGGGGGAGUAAGAGAAGAGAGAGACAACCGUCGCCCGCACCGUGAUCCAUCGAUGACCACACGCUUCGUCGCACCUCCACGCCACCACAACUAUGUGACACCACAUCUCCCCGCCUUCGAGCCGCCAUACCCCCAAACCAGCAGCAUGAACAACACCCCCGACGUACCUCCUUGGGAAGUGAAUCCCGCCGAGGCCGGUGGUGAGAGGAUGCAAUGCAAUGUGGUGUGGCUUAUUGUGCUAGGAGUUGACCGUCUGAGUCACCCCGAGUGUCGCCUAAGAGGAGCUACAACAAACAUUGUUGGCACGUCCCCCGCCACCACUUCUCUUCUAUCUUGAUGCACGAUCCUAAUGCUCAAUAAAUUAAGUGGUAUUUCACCGUUUGAUCCCGUGUUCACCUGAUCUUCAUCACACCAUGAAUUCCAUGUAAGGUUGGCAAUUGGGUUAUAUUCUUGAGAAAACAUGCUAACAUGUAGUGUCAAGAAAAAGAUCGGAGCAAUUUCAUACUUCAUUCAUGGGCUGAUUUUUUUAUCAACAAUUCUGUAAAAACAACUAUGCUGGAAUUUGGAGGCAUAUUGACCACUAUUAGUACACAUGGCUACAAAAAAAAAAUCACCUAGGCGAUCCCGAUGCACCAUCAAAGGCAAGCAGCUAAAAAAAGUUCCACCUUUGGCGAUCGAUCUCAAUGAACCAUCCUCAGCAAGGGCAUCUGGUGCAGCGGGCUGCUACCGAUGGCGUACUGGUACUUAACCACGUCCUCGAAGCAUCCAGCUGCGGGCAUCGUCGCCGGUGCCGCAGCCGCCUGCUCGUCAUCGACUACGUCUCUCUGCACCGCCAUAGCUUCGUCGGCCCGAUCAGCGUCGCCUUCGCGGGCGCAGCCGGGUGCCGGGAGCGGAUGGCUGGGGCAGUCGUCCUCGCGCUCGACGAGGCGCAUGAGGAGGCGGCCGCCGCGCACGCGGCGCGCUCGGACGUAGUAGUCCGGCCGCAUGACGCGCACCUUGCUGAUGACGAGCCUCCUGUCCUCGGUGCGCGCCCGGCGCAGACCGCUACGGCCCGCCAGCGACGGGAUCGGCGGCGGCAGGCGGCGCCGUCCGGGCUCCCGCCGGCCGUACGAGACCCAGCAGCCCUCGUCCUCCUCGUCGACGCCCUCCUCCGGAUCGGCCUCGCCGCGCGUCGGCGGCGACGCGGGGAUCAUCGUCCGCGUCACGACGCCCGCGGCGACGGGGUCGGGGGCGAGCAGCGAGCGGAGGCCGGCGAGGGGGGCGAACUUGUCGGCGGAGCGGGAGACGGACAGCAGCAUCGGAUAGGGAUGGGAUCGGAGGGGCGGCGGCGGUGCCGUGGCGGUGGCCGGUCGCGGCGCACGAGAGGCGGUGGGGCGAGCGGCGGGUGGGAUGGGAUGGGAUGGGAUCGGUGGAGCGCGCCCGCGCGUGGGCUAUCGGUUGCGAUCGGGGAGGGGAGGGUUGACGGGGCUUUUAUACGUGGACGUUUGCUCGCCCUCCGGGAAGGCGGGAAGUGGGAGCGGAUCGGGCACGGGAACCCCGUGACGAUCGACUCGAUCCAUCGAUCCAUCGGCUUGUGGGUCGAUCGCUUUCUUGGCCGGCCAAUCAAUAGGCCUCCCGCCCUAGUUCACUGGCUUCCCAGACCGAUGAAUGGCGCCCCGCAUGCAUGCGUGCAUGGCUAUCCGCCUAUCCGGUUAUCCUCCUAUCCAACCCUGGCCCUGGCUGGAAAUAGACCACCGUCGAGUUCGAGUUAGGCUCUAUCCCGUUCCUGACUGAUACGGAGUAAGUUUUGUUUACAAGAAGGCGGAGAAGCUCGUGCGCGUGCACAGGUGGUUGGGGCGCGAUAGAGGUGUACGUGGCGACCCGUGACCGGCCGGCCGGGGAGGCGUCGUACCGUAGGCCGGCCGGAGCUGGCUGGCUGCCGUGUGAGGCGCCGGCUGUAACAGGUGGCUCGGGAUUCACCAGCCGCGCACGGGCGAACCAAGCAACGACGACGGGAGAAUGAUCGCUCCUCGUUCGCCUUCAUCGCCGUUGAGAAAUCAUCACGAUGGGCUCAGUCCAGCAGAAACAAGCACUCGGACGGGCUCAAAUGGCUGUCUCCACCCACCCCACACUAUUUCAGCCCAGUUCGAGCAAUUCACAAGAAGCCAUGUCUCCUUGGGUACAAUAAUACCAUGCUUUUAAACGAUAAUGUGAUAUCAACUUUGCAAUAAGUUUUUUUCAUGCAAAACAAAAUAAAAACUUCACAUUAAGUUGGGGCACCUAUUCUUCUGCGAUUUUGAAGGCGUAGAUAUUUAUAUUUAAAAAUUUAAGUCAAGGCUGAUUAGUUUCAUCUCAGUGUUGUGACAAUCGAUUGUCGACGUUCACUGGACACCAUGUCAGACAUGUGUUUUCUCCUUGGCCAGCCAGUCUGUGUUCCAUAGAAGAACCGCUAGCAGCCUGACACAGGGCCAAAAUUAAAGCCCGACUUGCAUUAGGCAGUGUUCAAUUCAAUUUUAUCCAUUUGUUUUCCUGUGUUUGUUACAAGUUUUGUUGAGUUUUUGUGAUAUGUUAGAUAUUAGCAUUACCUAUAUCAUGUAUUGUUUUCAUAUUUUUUGAAACUUCCGAAAGCCUCAACAUGUGUUGGGCACAAUGGGUCAAUGGUGGCACCACGAGGGCGAGUGCACCAGAUACUUUCCUCUCACUGGUUAUAUUCAACAUAGAUUGUCAAAUGGGACAAAAAUAUCAAAUACUAACUGGGGUGCAAAGUGGUCAAAACAUUCAGACUACAUGCUUUCAGUUUUAGUCAUUUGUGGACAUUAGAUCAUCUCAAACAGUAAUAAACCCUAGAACAGAGCCUCCUACUUCUUCAGCCCUUACAAUUUCGGAAUUUAUAACGGGCGAACGUCAGAUAUUUGACCCUUUCCAGUGAACGCCGUGUUUGCCGUCAGAUCGGCUGCACGAAUCUUGAAGCAAGGGAACUAGUUGCGUCAGUUUUCUCUUUUGUUCACUAAAUAUUGCAUGAGCGCGAACGAGCAGAGAUGACGAGGCCGCGGCCUUAUCCCCCUUGUCUUCUCCCAUUUCCAUUCACGAGCAGCGAGCUGAGUGAGAGAGAGGCGAGCGGCCGAGGUGCUCGUCGCGGAGGUCAUCAUCUUCCUUCGUGCGUUGACGGAGGUGGCGCUCGGCGGCGAGCUCGCGUAGGAAGCGACCAUGUUGGGCUCACGGAAGACCUCAAACAGCCACGCCCCUCUCUCUCGCCGGCGAGCUGCACGGAAGGACGUCUAGGUUGUGCUGGGGGCUGCACGAGCUUGCGAUGAUGGGUCGCGCCCCGUUCCUCUCACCAACUUGCGUUCCUGAUGCGAGCAGACCUCAAGCAGCCGCGCCAUGCUCCAAUGUGGUGGUCAUGGAUGUGCGGGGCCGCGCUUGUGGCUAGCGAGGGCAAAAUUUGGUGUUUUGACCCUUUUGGCAUAGUUGAGCCAAAUCUGACCUUUGUUCAAAACUUUUUUGAGAUCUGAUCAUUUUUCCUACCACCAUAGUCCUUGGCGGUAGAGUUACACAACCUACCGCCGAGGUUAAUGGCGGUAGGACUUAACUGCACCAUGACAUCCAUUUAAAAAAAAUACCCUGCCGCCAGUGCCUUUGGCGGUAGGUUGUGUUAUCCUACCACCAAUGUGUGCGGGCGGUAGGAGAGACAAUUUUCCUCUGUGCAUCUGACCACGCUCCACGCCUAUUCCAUGCAUGCAGCCAAGCAUCAACACGGGCCAUCACAAUAGCGUCUGCAGUGCAAUCAUGCAUGCAUAUAGUCGAUCGAAUUCACUGUUUUGACCCUUCUUGAAUACUUUACCACAAUCUGACUUUAUUUAAAAAAAAAAUCAUGAUCUGACCCUUUUUCUACCAUUAUCGUCUUUGACGGUAGGGUAAUACAGCCUAUCGCCAAGGGCUACUGCGGUAAGACUUGACGGUGCGUCACGGUCAUUCGACGAUGAAAAUACCCUAGCGCCAUAGUCUUUGGCGAUAGGGUACCGAAGGUAUAAAGUACGUGUGGCGCCCAGUAGUACUGAACGUGUGUGCUGGAAGGUUGGCUAGCUCGUGCGUGUUUGCUUUGGUAAUGUCGUGCUGAUCAUGCAUGUUAGUGGACCGGUAGAUCGUGUGGCCUUGGAGUGGAGGCUGCUAUAUGGACGGAUAUUCAAGACAAUUAUCAUUCUUGCCGAGCAGAGCAAUGCAUAUGUUGCUGUUUACCGGUGCACUCUGUCACACGCAUACAAGUGAGUGCUUGUUACCCCCAAAUAACUUUUCUUUUACUUGCAUUUAUAGAUAUUCUCCAAAACACAGUCACCACUUACAGUGUUGAACCUAGUGCCACUUAAAAUGAAUGAUUUGUAAUAGUCUAAUAGAUGAUGUUCCUAUAUUAAGUUAUUAGCUUGGGUUCUUUGCGAAAAUACAAAGGUGAACAUGGGUACGCGCGCACCCACGUGAAUAGCAAAUUCAUAAAAAAUACUAGAAAAAAAUAAAGAAAUUCUGAAAUUUCGUGGUAUGAAACUUAGUCGAUUAUUCUACUCACUUGUAAAGUUUCAUGAUGUAUUGACACCCAUGGUAUUCUUAAUGAAGAAAAUACAAAUACAACCAUACUAUUUAGUAAACAAGUGUUUUUUAAUAUUGCUUCAAUUUUGUCUUUUUGCCAAGAUUACCACGGAUGUGAUUACUUCGUGAAACAUCAUAUGUGAGUAUACCGGUUGACUUUGUAUAUUACAAAAAUAAAUUCAGAUUUUUUCAAUGUUUUCAAGCAUUUGUUUGAAUUUACUAUUUAUAAGGGGUGCGCACGCAUCCAUGUUCACCAAAUCCGUGUCCGGUUCUUUGCAAAUACACACAUUUUUGCUCAGUUAACUAUGGUAUGCUCUUACAGUCCCCUCAACCAAAGGGUUGCAUGACGAACCAGGUAUGCAGUAGAUAUUUGCUUUAAUUAUUAGAAUUAUUGACAACCAUAGAUGGUGCCAUCCACAACAUCCUAUUUUUUUCAUUCUUGGCAUCUGUUAGCCUAUUUAUACCUAUGAGACGACUAAAGUUAGGUCUGGUUACUAAAGCAAAUCAAAUGCAACAGAAAAUCCCCAUUUUCCGUUUUCAAGUUCAACUACUGGGCAUAAAAGAUACCGAUGAGCUUUAUAUCAUCGUGAUAUUUUCAUCAUUAUAACUAGUCGGGAGAUAUGGCAUUAUAUUGACUUCGCUUUCCUUCUAGACGCUCUUUUAAUUCUAUCUUGAUAUAUGUACAGUAUCACCUUACGUGAAUUCUGCUAAUCAUAUGAACAUCAUUUUGCAAUUUGUCAUUAGGUAUUUGGAAGAUAUGGUGGUGCAGAUGGAUUUCUCUUCCUGCAAUACCACAUGAUUCUUAACUACUCGAACCUUCCGCAAGCCGACAAGUAAAAACUUUGGAUAACUAAGUAAAAAAAUGUUUUACCAAUAAUACACUUACAAAUAAGUAAAAAUAAUGUUUUUACCAACAAUCCAUAUCCUAAGAUUAAUUGGACACAUUAUUUAUUUUACAGUUACAAAUAAGUAAAAAUAAUGUUUUUACCAACAAAUAAGUAAAAAUAUGACCUUAUGAAGGCUUGAACCCAAGACUGACCAAAGCUAACCCUUCGCUACCCUACCGUCAAAGACUAUGGUGAUAGGGUAUUUUCAACAUUGAAUGACUGUGACGGCGCACCGUCAAGUCCUACCGCCAUAGCCCUCGGCGGUAGGCUGUGUUACCCUACCGCCAAAGACGAUGACGGUAGGAAAAGGGUCAGAUCACGAAAAAAAUUUAAACUAGGGUCAAAUCGUGCUAAAGUUUUCAAAAAUGGUCAAAAGAGUGAAUUCAGCUUAUAUAGUCCAUGUUCAUCCUUUUGAUUUGACAAGUGCUAGUAAAAGCAUGCAUGUGCUACCUAGUUCUAUGCACGCAUGCAUGCUUCCUGGAUGUGUGACUUGUUUAAUAUCUCAUUGUUGGCUGCACGCAUGUCAUGGCGUGUGGGCGUGUGCCCAAAACCGCAGAGAAAAAGAGCCUCGCCUAUCGCCGCUCAUUCGUGUCUAUCGCCAGACGCUUUGGCGGUAGGAUAUUUUUAAUGCUAAACAGAAAUCACGGCGUCGUCAAGUCUUACCGCCAAGAUCCCUGGCGGUAGGCUAUUAUAUCCUACCGCCAGACACUAUGGCGGUAGGAAAAGGGUAUUUUUUUUUUCAAACCAGGGUUAGAUCUGGCUUAAUUUUUACAAAAGGGUCAAAACACCAAAUUUAGCCGCUAGCGGGUGCGUCGGCGACCGUGCUCGCCGAAGGGCUCAUCCCGCAUCGAGGGAUGGCAGCAGGACAGACAGCAUGGUGGAUGAUUAGUGUCUGACAGGGCAGUGGGUUACGGUCGGUCGUCCUCGGCCCAUUCAUGAGGGUGCGUCUAGAUGGCCAUGUGUCCCGACAACAGCGAUGUGCGAGAGAUUGAGGUUGCGGAAGCACCGGAGGAAUUGCUGGUGCAGUGAAGCGCCGACCACAUGUCCACUAGGGCUUCCCCUGUCCUACCCACAGUGAGACGCCGACCUCAUGCACCUUUUUGCUGCUAUUGAUGCAUAUUGGAAUUCACCCCAAAUCUUACUGUUUCUUUUUCAUGGAUCUAUUUUGUGCCACUGUUAUCAGUGGAUGGAUUUGAGAACAACAGGUUAAUAAUUGAAGCUAAGACCUGGAAAAUUUCAUAUCUCAGUUUCUAACACUCAACAUGGCAUUUUCAGAGGCUACACAUGGCAACUUAAGAACUGAUUGUUAUUUUUACUCUAUUGCGAUUUCUUUAUUCCUGGCAAUUUGGAAUGUGAAUGAACAUGUUGUAUAGUGGUGACAUGGCAAUUUCCUUAUCCUGGCAUUUUUUUGGAAUGUGAAUGAGCAUGAUGUAUAGUGGUGACAUGGCAUUUUGGAAUACACAUCUUUAAACUAUGACAUUUUUAGAAAAUUUUAGUUGAUUCACAAGAUAUAUUUUUUGAAACUUUUUGUAUCCUAAAUUUCCAAGUUCUGACAUGACGAUUUUGCUAGAAUUUAACAUUUUGAAAUGUUUGUAUAAGAACGGAGAAACUGCUAGAAUUUUAUUAUAGAUCCCCAUGGCAAUAUAACAAUGUGUACGAAGGAAAUUUAACAUGUGUCCCCAUGGAAAAUCCUUUUUGUUACAUAUCAUGGUAAUUUUGGGGUAGAUGGAGAGGUGGAGGGUGAAAUGCAUGGCAAUUCUUUUUGUAUAUAGCAUCUCAAAUUAACAUUUAGGCUGCCAAUUUAUUUGUACCCAUGGCUAAUUCCUAAUUUUGCCAUCCUUUUCAAAGUACAAAUCAUCUAAAUUUUGAUACAUUUGCCAUCGGUUUUGUUUAAAGAACAAAUCUAAUAAAUUUUCCAUGUGCCCUUUUACAAAUUUCAGAAACUUGUCAUGUUAUUUAUAGAACACAAUCCAUAAUUUUAGCAAUGUGGCCACAUAAAUUUGCCAAUUUUUUUCCAAAGAAACAAAUCCCUAAUUUUGCUUUGCGCCUAUUACAUUUUUUUGCCAAAAGUCGCCAUGUGUUUUUUAGAGAACAAAUUCCUAAAUUUUCCAUGCCUUUUUUUGUCAUAGGUAGCAUUAAAAUUUUAUUAUUCAGACCAUGGCAAAUUUAUUUAUAAGCCAUGGUAGUUUUAUCAUAUGUAGCAUGAUAAUUUUAUCUAUUCAUACCAUGGCAAUUUAUUAAUUAGACCAUGACAAAUUUUGGAAUUCCUAUUUCCCAUCUUGUCAAAGAAGAAAAAUUCCUAUAAUUGCAUUGUCCCCAUUUAAAAUAUUCCAAUAGUUGCCAUGCCUCUUAAAGAAUAUACUUCCUAAUUUUUUGCCUUGUUAUUGGUAACAUGGCAAAAAAAACACCAUGACAGAUUUAUUAAUUGGUCCAUUGUAAAUUUUGGAAGUCUUAUUUUUGACCAUUUUACUAAUUAGACCAUGUGCAAUUUUAUUAUAGGUUCCAUGGCAAUUUAACUUAUUAGACCAUCGCCAUUUUUAAUUAAAUCAUGGUUGUUUUAUUUUGUAGCUACCAUGACAAUUUAUUUAAUUAGGUCAUGAUAAAUUUAUUACAUAUACCAUGGCAAAUACUCCCUCCGUAAAGAAAUAUAGGAGCGUUUAGAUCAUUACAUUAGUUAUCUAAAUGCUCUUAUAUUUCUUUACAGAGGUAGUACUUUUUAAACUUUAUCAUGGCAAAUGUUUUGUAUACAAGAUGGCACAUUUAUUGACCAUUACAUGGCAAUUUGUUUUGUAUGCUCCAUGGCAAUUUUCAUAUUACAUAUAGUCGGAAUAUUUCUAUCGUGUCAUGGCAAAUUUCUCUAUGUUUUUUCAUAUAUUUUUAUUCGUGUAUAUGUAAUAUUGAAACAGGACAUUUUUAGGCAUGUGAUCUUUGUUUACAAAUGCUAUAAUUUUGCCAUGUCAUCAAUAAUUUCCCCCCUGCAUUUUUUCCAUGUUACCAUUUUAUAGAGAUCUGUUCAACACCUUUUUGUGCUCGUCAUGUAACUUUCACAAAGGUUCUAGCAACUUGCCAUGCUUUUAUACAAAACAAAAAUAUUUAGUUUAACUUUCGCAUGAUUUUCUUGUACAACACCGUGGCAGUUUUGUGUCCAUGAUGGUAAGAAUUAUUUUUUUUGUUUCUACUGAUUUUUGGCGCCUGAACUGCUUCUGUUUUUUCUUCACAGAAAGGAAAUNNNNNNNNNNNNNNNNNNNNNNNNNNNNNNNNNNNNNNNNNNNNNNNNNNNNNNNNNNNNNNNNNNNNNNNNNNNNNNNNNNNNNNNNNNNNNNNNNNNNNNNNNNNNNNNNNNNNNNNNNNNNNNNNNNNNNNNNNNNNNNNNNNNNNNNNNNNNNNNNNNNNNNNNNNNNNNNNNNNNNNNNNNNNNNNNNNNNNNNNNNNNNNNNNNNNNNNNNNNNNNNNNNNNNNNNNNNNNNNNNNNNNNNNNNNNNNNNNNNNNNNNNNNNNNNNNNNNNNNNNNNNNNNNNNNNNNNNNNNGCGCAAAACAGUUUUUACGGGCCCGCGCGGGCUGACACAGAUGCAGACCCCUCCAAACGGAUCUGUAAAAAAUUAUAUUCGCGGAAUAUGCUUUUUUACGGGUCGGCUAUGCGAGUUCUGCUCUUUGCGCCGCUACAUCCCCGCAAAUCAUCAGCCCGCAAAUCUCAAAUCCAACAUAAUUCAACAAUCGAAAACAAACUGAAUUAUUCAAAUCAAACAUAAAACAAUAACCAUCCACAUUAUAAAUAAUUAUUCAAAUCACCGUAGCAAACUUAAAAUAAUGCAAUACAAAAUUUGUCAUGAAUACAAAUACAAACGAAUACAAAAAUUAGUCACUGUCCAGCCCUUUGCUAAUGGUGCUCAAUGAGAUCUUCCUGAAGUUGAAAGUGUGUGUCUGCAUUUUCAAUCUCCUUGUAUGUCUGAAGAAAAGCUCUAAUGCGGUUUGGGUCUGUAGCUGGUUUGACACGGCUACCCACAUUAUCGUAAAAGAAUUCUAAGUCCAUUUCUCUCUCAUCUUCAAGAAUCAUAUUGUGUAGGAUAACACAGCAAGUCAUGAUAUUGUUCAGGGUUUUCUUAUCCCAAAAACGAGCAUGACCUCGGACAAUAGCAAACCUAGAUUGCAAAACACCGAAUGCUCUUUCAAUGUCUUUUCGGGCUACCUCUUGCACCCUUGCAAAUUCACAUUGUUUUUUUUGUUUUGGGUUCUUUGAUGCUCUUGACAAAUGUGCACCAAGGAGGAUAUAUACCAUCUGCAAGAUAGUACCCCUUUGUGUAUUCAUGCCCAUUGAUAAUGUAGUUGCAAGCAGGAGCAUCACCACAAGCAAGCCUAGCAAACAAAUGAGAGCGUUGCAACACAUUGAUAUCAUUGAGUGUGCCGGGCAUACCAAAAAAGUAAUGCCAAAUCCAUAAAUCCUCCGAUGCUACGGCCUCUAGCACAAUUGUUGCAUCACGAGACUUGCCACAAAUACAUUCCUUGCCAUGCCUUGGGGCAAUUUUUCCAAUUCCAAUGCAACAAUCGAUGCUACCUAGCAUCCCAGGCCAACCUCUCCUCUCAUUAGUUGUGACAUCCGGAUAAUUAAGCUACAGUAACUUUCUACUAAUGAUGCCACGUCACCUCGAUUACUGUUGCUAAUCUCGCGUUAGUUCAGAACCGAUCCAAAUUCCACUUUAAUUAAAGUCAACCGAUAAAGUUUUCAAACAUUAAAACUAAAAUGUUCUAGAGGUGGAAAAUAAUUCAUAAUAAAUAUUGGAGGAGAAACCACAUUUUUAUAAUGUGUUUGCGUGUUCCAAAAUUAAUAAAACAUUGAUUUAAAUGUUUAGUUAAAUGCCUUUUUAUUAUUUUGAAAUACUAAACUAUUCUAUUUAGUAGUCAAACUUGUUAUUGCAGAGGCUUAUAUUACAACACUAAUUUAGGUGCCAAUUGUGUAUUUUACAAAACAAAAAUGAAUUGAACAAUAAAUAAAAUAGAGAAGAAAAUAAGUAAAAUAGGAAGCAAAAACUAAAAUAAAAAUAAAGGCCACCCCCUCUCACUCAUGGGCCUCAGCCCACCAGGCCACCACCUAGGCCGGCCCCACAGCCGAGCUCGCUCCCCCCCUUAACCCCCACUACCUCGAACCCUAACCCAAGUGCGCCCCACUCCCCCCCACGUCGCUCGAUCCCCACCCUCUCCCUCCAGUACCACCAGGGGAGAGCCCCACGCACGAACCCCCACUCUCUCUCGUCUCUCUCCCAGCUACGCUCGCCCUCGACGCCAUUGCCGAACCGCCCCACCUCACACCGGCGCUCCACCGCCACACCAGCGCCGCCCCGUCCUCACCUCCUCCCGACUGGCGCCCAGCGCUCGGCGCCCCCACCCCAUCGCCGCUGCCACCGGAUCGCCCACCACCUCGUCGCACCGCCUCCAAGCCGGAUCGCCCCGUCCUCGACCUCUUCCUCGACGGAUCUGCGUCGUCGACCCGUCGUCCGACCCCGACUCCUCCCCGAGCAUGCCUCGCUCAACUACAGGGCUUUGUGAGCCCCCUCCCCUUCUUCUCUCUGCCUCCCUCACCCGCUCGCUAAUUCGUCGUGGCCGCGCCGUGCUCGCGGACACUGCCGCCCGCGCCUCGCUGCUCGUAGUGGCCGCCAGCUCCCGCGCCAUGCGCCCCUCCCCUGUGCUCCACUACUUCCCGCCGACCCCCCUUCACUGCCCUGCACCACCACAAUCGCGUCGCGCGCACGCCGCGGCUCGCCGUCGCACCAUCACUUGUGCGCCUCNNNNNNNNNNNNNNNNNNNNNNNNNNNNNNNNNNNNNNNNNNNNNNNNNNNNNNNNNNNNNNNNNNNNNNNNNNNNNNNNNNNNNNNNNNNNNNNNNNNNNNNNNNNNNNNNNNNNNNNNNNNNNNNNNNNNNNNNNNNNNNNNNNNNNNNNNNNNNNNNNNNNNNNNNNNNNNNNNNNNNNNNNNNNNNNNNNNNNNNNNNNNNNNNNNNNNNNNNNNNNNNNNNNNNNNNNNNNNNNNNNNNNNNNNNNNNNNNNNNNNNNNNNNNNNNNNNNCGUGCACGCGCUCGUCGCCUGCCCCGCUCUGCCGCUUCUACAGUCGUCGGCGCCCGCCGCUCCCUCCAGCUGCGGCCGCCCUGCCAACACGCGCCCGGGUCCGGCGACCCAGUGCCCCCAGCCCCGCUCGAGCGUCCCCGCCGUUGCUUCCACGCCCGUAAGGCCCCCAAGGACUAUGACACGGGGCCCCACCCCAGAACGAAUUUAAAAAAAGAAAGGAAAAAAAUGAAUGUAAAAAAAUAAAUAAUUAAUAAUUAAAUUAAAUUAAUUAAUUAAUUAAGUUAAUCAAUCCUACUUAAUUAAACUAAUUAAACCUGAUUAGAUUAACCUAACCAUUAACUAAACAGCCAAUGACAUGUGGGCCCCAACCGCAGUUGACCCAGUCAACUGCACAAUUGACUGCUGACAUCAGCAUGAUGUCAUGCUGACGUCAUCAUUUACUAUUGUGGAUAAUGUUGAUUUAAAAUAAUUAAAAUUUUAGAAAGUUAAUAUAAAAUAAACCGUAGCUCGGAUGGAUAAACUUUGUACAUGAAAGUUGCUCAGAACGACGAGACGAAUCCGGAUUCGCAGCCCGUUCGUCCGCCACGCAUCCCUAGAAUAGCGAACACGCAACUUUCCCCCUCCGGUUCAUCUGUCUGAAAACGCAAAACAUCGGGAAUACUUUCCCGGAUGUUUCCCCCUUCACCGGUACCACCUCGUACCGCGUUAGUGGCACACCUAGCAUCACGCCUUGUCAUGUCAUGCAUUUGUUUGCGAUAUAUUUAUUGUUUCUUCCCCCUCUUCUCUCGCUAGACACCGAGACCGACGCCGCUGCUACCUAGUACGACUACGGUGUUGACAACCCCUCUCUCUUGCCAGAGCAACCAGCAAGCCCCCCCUAAUCACCAUAUAUCGCCUACUCUCCUCUAUACUGCUUGCAUUAGACUAGUGUAGCAUGUUACUGCUUUUCGUUAAUCCUAUUCUGAUGCAUAGCAUGUCCUUGCUACUACUGUUGUUACCUUUACCUGCAAUCCUAAUGCUUAGUAUAGGAUGCUAGUUUAUCAUCAGUGGCCAUACAUUCUUGUCCGUCUGCCAUGCUAUAUUAUAGGGCCGUGAUCACUCGGGAGGUGAUCACGGGUAUAUACUAUAUACUUUAUACAUGAUACAUGUGGUGACUAAAGACGGGUCGGCUUGUGGAGCACCCGCGAGUGAUUCACGGAUUGGGGGCUGAAAGGACCUUUGUCCCAACGGCCCUCUGUGUGGAUCUUUGUGGCGAAGCGACAGGGCAGGUUGAGACCACCUAGGAGAGAGGUGGGCCUAGCCCUGGUCGGCGUUCGCGGUUAUUUCAAAAUAACACGCUUAACGAGAUCUUGGUAUUUGAUCUGAGUCUGGCCACUGGCCUAUACGCACUAACCAUCUACGCGGGGACAGUUAUGGGCACUCGACGUCGUGGUAUCAGCCGAAGCCUUCAUGACGUCAGCGACUGAGUGGCGCGCGCCGGAUUGGACCGUAAGCCUGCUCUUGUAUUAAGGGGGCUAGUUCUGCUUCUGGCCGCGUUCGCAACGUGCAGGUGUGCAAAGGGCGAUGGGCCCAGACCCCUGCGCCAUAGGAUUUAGACCGGCAUGCUGACCUCUCUGUUGUGCCUAGGUAGGGCUGCGACGUGUUGAUCUUCCAAGGCCGGGCAUGACCCAGAAAAGUGUGUCCGGCCAAAUGGGAUCGAGCGUGUUGGGUUAUGUGGUGCACCCCUGCAGGGAAGUUAAUCUAUUCGAAUAGUCGUGAUCUUCGGUAACAGGACGACUUGGAGUUGUACCUUGACCUUAUGACAACUAGAAUUGGAUACUUAAUAAAACACACCCUUCCAAGUGCCAGAUACAACUGGUGGUCGCUCUCUCACAGGGCGACGAGGGGAGGAUCAUCGGUUAGGGUUAUGCUAUGCGAUGCUACUUGGAGGACUUCAGUCUACUCUCUUCUACAUGCUGCAAGACGGAGGCUGCCAGAAGCAUAGUCUUCAACAGGAUUAGCUAUCCCCCUCUUAUUCUGGCAUUCUGCAGUUCAGUCCACCGAUAUGGCCUUUACACAUAUACCCAUGCAUAUGUAGUGUAGCUCCUUGCUUGCGAGUACUUUGGAUGAGUACUCACGGUUGCUUCUCCUUCUUUUCCUUCUAUCCAUUCUACCUGGUUGUCGCAACCAGAUGUUGGAGCCCAGGAUCCAGACGCCACCGUCGACGACGACUCCUACUACACCGGAGGUGCCUACUACUACGUGCUGCCCGCUGACGACGACCAGGAGUAGUUAGGAGGAUCCCAGGCAGGAGGCCUGCGCCUCUUCCGAUCUGUAUCCCAGUUUGCGCUAGCCUUCUUAAGGCAAACUUGUUUAACUUAUGUCUGUACUCAGAUAUUGUUGCUUCCGCUGACUCGUCUAUGAUCGAGCUCUUGUAUUCGAGCCCUCGAGGCCCCUGGCUUGUAAUAUGAUGCUUGUAUGACUUAUUUUAUUUGUAGAGUUGUGUUGUGAUAUCUUCCCGUGAGUCCCUGAUCUUGAUCGUACACGUUUGCAUGUAUGUUUAGUGUAUGGUCAAAUCGGGGGCGUCACAAGUUGGUAUCAGAGCCGACUGCCUGUAGGAAUCCCUCUUCCACACUCCUUGGCCGAAGUUGAGUCUAGACAUUACAAAAACUUUUACUAACAUGGCUGUGUGCCUUACGGGCCCACAUCGCCAUCUGGGUGGUAUUAGGCUCUUUUACUCCUCGAUCCUUACUCUGGGACUCUGAACUCUCUCCUAUUCGGGUUUAAUGAAUUUACUAAAAAUCUAACUUAGGUUCUCGAAAAUACUUUCUCCGGGAGAGCCCGUUUAGUCCAGAUGAUCGCCGGCUGCACUAGAAGAUUUCGAAGAUACUCUCCGAUAUUCUGUCGAGACCUUGUGCGUGUUGCUUUUGCAAUUCCCUUCUAUCGAUAAACCUCUAUGGAUAACCACGUACACGUGCCAUUCAUAUAAUCAUUCCUCAUUGAUCUUGUUAUUACAAGAUGCCCCAAAAUACUCUCUAUUGUUCUAAGAAUACUUUGUGCCUACUGCCUUGCAUUUCUUUGCCACAUGAAUACCACUAUGGGUAAUUUCUAGCACUCACCGGAUAUUUGCUCAUCCCCAGUUGGUUCAUGUAUUUCACAAAAGUCUUCAAAAUACUAUUUGAACUUCCGAAAAUCCUGAGUAGCCUAUUACUCUUGAAGUUCUUACUUGCUUGCAUUAUGGUUAAUCCCAUAAGUCUAUAAUUUUAUUGGCAUCCCUUGUCAUUAUCAUUUUGAGUCCGUUGAUUCAAAAUGUUGUGAAUGCUCGCCAUCCUCAAUCAGAUCCAAUGAUCCAUCCUUCCGGCUCACACGUCAUUUUAAACAUGAGCUGGUUAUCGACCAAUCAAAUUGUCGUCGAUUGUACCGCUAAGUCUAUUCAACUGAUCCAUUCUUAAUGCGAGCGUUGGCUUUUGAUCCCUUGAUUUGGAAAUGCUAAUCUGAUGCCCUUUCAUUCCAUCUUCCUCAGAUAGAGUACCGAUACUCGCAUCAGCUCCAUUGUAGACCAUAGGACCCCUUGUUGGAUUAUUAUCCGGCAGUGUCCUUCCUAUUCAAUAACCUUGUGAGCCUCUCCAUGGGUAUGUGAUACCUUUGGUAAAUUGUAUCCUCUGUUUUGCUAACCAUGCUCUACUUUCGAGCUUGUGAUAUUUACUCUUGAAACUUGUGGUAUAUGUUUCUAAGAAACCCCGAUGGGUUGAACCUAUACAACCUUCUCUAAAACCGUGUGAACUUGAAAGUUUUCAUGAGUCAUACACUUCUGUUAUUUUGCCAGAUGAAAUUUCAACACUACGACUUCUUCGAAAGUGAGAAGUGGAUGAAAGGCUAUGCAUUGGAGAAGUGGGAGUCGACCUUGAACUUUGUGUUCAUGCCCAUGGACACGAUGUAGAUCUUAUCGUUAAAGCUUCUCUUAGAUUAAAUUAUUCCUUUGGUAUAAGUUCAUCUUAUAUCUGGGAUCUGACCUUUUUCAAUCGUGGUUCCGACCAUGUUCUCCUUUAAAUACCGUUUCGCGUGCAAGUUUAAGCGCUUGUCUUCUGUAGAGCAAUACCCCAAUCCAACCUCUACUUUGAUCUGUCAUCAAGUAUUACCCCCUCUGGUAUCUCGAGAUUAUCACGAAACUGCAUAACUUCUUAUGAGUUCUUCUUCAAGUAUUAUUUGACUUCCGCUGCAUCAUCAUUUGACUUGAUGUCAUCGCCAACCGACUACAUCUUCAUGAAAUCUCUCGACAAAUGUGUCGUGGUCAUCAUCAACAUCCUGAGCUCUUCCAAGAUAUAUAUCAAAUUCUUGAUGAGAAAUAGCAUCCUCGCCCCUCAAUGGUUUGUGUUAUCACCGACCACUUUAUUGCCUUCCGUUCAACACAAACUUAUUCGUGUUUUGUGUUAUACCUUGAGAUCCUUGCUAUCCAGCAUUUGUUCUUCUUUACCUUGCAAUGUUACCACCUUUUAUGUCAAGAAUGUCGUGGUAAUUUUACCAUCUCUUGAGAAUUCUUGAUAUAGUAAUAUCUCCCGCCUUUUGCAUUCAUUUCUUGGUUUCCGUGUUGUUUCUAACCGGAAUACCGACAAAUGGUCUGUGAUGUGUAAAUUCUAAACUUCUAGCAACCCUAUUGUUUGGAAGUUAUUGGUCUACAGUUUCAUUCUAAGUCUAUUGCUUAUUGAAUCAUCAUUCAAACAUUGAUCGUGCUACCUAGUCCAGAUUCCUGGGUGCACCCUUCUAUCAUUGUUCAGUUGUGUAUGUUUCCCUCGAGCAUACAUCAUUAUAUCAUUUGAUCCGACAAAUGAUAUUUCCUUGUUCACAUAAUUGUGGAAAUCAAUCCUUUGGAAAUCUCGAUGAUUUGUUGCUGAGCGUAUCAGCCACCUCCUCAUCCUCUCCUUGGUUUACUGAUGAACUCUUGUUUCAGAGCUCACUUCCAUAGAUCAUUUCUGAGAAUCUCACAAUGUCAUCUCGUCAAAUUGUGUUGCACCUUUUCUUCUCAGGUAUCCUGAAAUCUGAGUUAUCCUAACACCAUUCAGAUCUGAAUCUCAGUCAGAUAUGAUGGUUGGAACAUAUUUCCAAGAGUUAUAACAUUGGUCUUUAUGUGACCCAGUAAGGUGAUGUUGUGCCUAGCACACCUGCCCCGAGGCCCUAUUGUUAUAAUUUCCUUUUUGGCAAGGUUAGUCAUUCUUCCGUGAGGAAAUCGUAAGACUUAUUCUAUAAGUUGUUCCUGAUGGAUCCAUUGUGUUUCCAAAGUCUGAUCUUCACCUGAUGACCAUGUCAAUGCUAUCUCGUAGCAUGUCUAUGAGACUCCGAUUCUCAACAAGAACAUUUGAAGCCCAAUGCUAAAUGUUUCCUGCUCAGUUAUCCAAACACCGUUGUAUGUGUAAUGUCAUGAAAUUUCUCUCCCCUUACUUAAAGGGUUUUCUGCUUUCUAUCAUGUCAUGGAUAUCAUGCUCUGCUUGUCCUUGGGAAAGAUAUACCCCUGGAAUAUGUGUUUAAACAUAUUUUCAUUUCCAUUGUUCUGAUUAAACCUGAUAAUCAUAUUUUCCUUUCCAUUGUUUGGUUUAACCUUUCUUGUGAUCUAUAUGAUCUAAGCAGUAAUAUUCUCCUCCUUUUGUAAACACCUCGGUGUACAAUUCUGUCAGAAAGACCCUGUUACUUUUGUUGAUGACAUUCCGGUAACCACCGAUGGAUGAUAACUCUGCCUACUGGUCCGCCUCGUUCAACGAGCAGGAAAAUGGUUCUCUUCGUCCCUCGCCCUUGGUACCGACAUUGUUGCCGACAUAAUUGAUAGGCUACCCUCUGACAUGUCUUGCUAUCAUGACCGUGCAAGAUGUCAACGCCCUUCCUACUUUUAACCACAUGGUGGGCCCAUAACCCACAGUUCCACAGGAUCAAAACCUGACACUCCUGUACACCCCUGCUCCCAAAGUUAUUCCUCCCGCGUGGCCUCGUAUGUAAUUCACGAGCCACCUUCCGAUGAGAUCAUCAAUACUGGUAUUAGACACAACACUUAACUCCAUUACUCUGAACCCCUUCACGUCCUGUUUCAGGCAUCGAACGAUUGCCUAUGCACUUGAAACUUCUACUUUGCACCUUCUUACUUUGCUCUCGAUAAUUUCUUAAGUUUCAAUUCGAGAGUUACUUUUCGCCACGUUCCCUAAGGAUUAUCUACCGGAUAAGCAACCAUGCAGAGUUCCAUUCUUAUGGUAUACCCCCUUAUUCUUUCGUAAGUACAAUGGAGUUUCCAAAGAUAGGAUGCCAACUUCAUCAUGAGAACCUGAAGCAGAGGAAUGAAGACAUCAAGGUUAUGGAUCGGCUUCUUCGAGAAGAGCAACCAAGACCGAGAACACUCGCUAGAAAUUCGUAACCAGAACCUUCUCCCUUACUCCCCUCUUAAAUCUCGGGACGAGAUUUCUUGUAGUGGAGGAGAAUUGUGACGCCCGGAUAAUUAAGCUACAGUAACUUUCUACUAAUGAUGCCACGUCACCUCGAUUAUUGUUGCUAAUCUCGCGUUAGUUCAGAACCGAUCCAAAUUCCACUUUAAAUUAAAGUCAACCGAUAAAGUUUUCAAACAUUAAAACUAAAAUGUUCUAGAGGUGGAAAAUAAUCCAUAAUAAAUAUUGGAGGAGAAACCACAUUUUUAUAAUGUGUUUGCGUGUUCCAAAAUUAAUAAAACAUUGAUUUAAAUGUUUAGUUAAAUGCCUUUUUAUUAUUUUGAAAUGCUAAACUAUUCUAUUUAGUAGUCAAACUUGUUAUUGCAGAGGCUUAUAUUCAACACUAAUUUAGGUGCCAAUUGUGAAUUUUACAAAACAAAAAUGAAUUGAACAAUAAAUAAAAUAGAGAAGAAAAUAAGUAAAACAGGAAGCAAAAACUAAAAUAAAAAUAAAGGCCACCCCCUCUCACUCAUGGGCCUCAGCCCACCAGGCCACCACCUAGGCCGGCCCCACAGCCCAGCUCGCUCCCCCCCUUAACCCCCACUACCUCGAACCCUAACCCAAGUGCGCCCCACUCCCCCCAUGUCGCUCGAUCCCCACCCUCUCCCUCCAGCGCCGCCAGGGGAGAGCCCCACGCACGAACCCCACUCUCUCUCGUCUCUCUCCCAGCUACGCUCGCCCUCGACGCCAUUGCCGAAUCGCCCCACCUCACACCGGCGCUCCACCGCCACACCAGCGCUGCCCCGUCCUCACCUCCUCCCGACUGGCGCCCAGCACUCGGCGCCCCCACCCCAUCGCCGCUGCCACCGGAUCGCCCACCACCUCGUCGCACCGCCUCCAGGCCGGAUCGCCCCGUCCUCGACCUCCUCCUCGAUGGAUCUGCGUCGUCGACCCGUCGUUCGACCCCGACUCCUCCCCGAGCAUGCCUUGCUCAACUACAGGGCUUUGUGAGCCCCCUUCCCUUCUUCUCUCUGCCUCCCUCACCCGCUCGCUAAUUCGUCGUGGCCGCGCCGUGCUCGCGGACACUGCCGCCCGCGCCUCGCUGCUCGUAGUGGCCGCCAGCUCCCGCGCCAUGCGCCCCUCUCCUGUGCUCCACUACUUCCUGCCGACCCCCCUUCACUGCCCUGCACCACCACAAUCGCGUCGCGCGCACGCCGCGGCUCGCCGUCGCACCAUCACUUGUGCGCCUCGCGUGCACGCGCUCGCCGCCUGCCCCGCUCUGCCGCUUCUGCAGUCGUCGGCGCCCGCCGCUCCCUCCAGCUGCGGCCGCCCUGCCAACACGCGCCCGGGUCCGGCGACCCGGUGCCCCCAGCCCCGCUCGAGCGUCCCCGCCGUUGCUUCCACGCCCGUAACACCGGGUGCCCGUAAGGCCCCCAAGGCCUAUGACAGGGGGCCCCACCCCAGAACGAAUUAAAAAAAAGAAAGGAAAAAAAUGAAUGUAAAAAAAUAAAAAAUAAAUAAUUAAAUUAAUUAAUUAAGUUAAUCAAUCCUACUUAAUUAAACUAAUUAAACUAAUUAAACCUGAUUAUAUUAACCUAACCAUUAACUAAACAGCCAAUGACAUGUGGGUCCCAACCGUAGUUGACCCAGUCAACUGCACAAUUCAUGCUGACGUCAUCAUUUACUAUUCUGGAUAAUGUUGAUUUAAAAUAAUUAAAACUUUAGAAAAUUAAUAUAAAAUAAACCGUAGCUCGGAUGGAUAAACUUUGUACAUGAAAGUUGCUCAGAACGACGAGACGAAUCCGGAUUCGCAGCCCGUUCGUCCACCAUGCAUCCCUAGAAUAGCGAACACGCAACUUUCCCCCUCCGGUUCAUCUGUCUGAAAAUGCGAAACACCGGGAAUACUUUCCCGGAUGUUUCCCCCUUCACCGGUACCACCUCGUACCGCGUUAGUGGCACACCUAGCAUCACGCCUUGUCAUGUCAUGCAUUUGUUUGCGAUAUAUUUAUUGUUUCUUCCCCCUCUUCUCUCGCUAGACACCGAGACCGACGCCGCUGCUACCCAGUACGACUACGGUGUUGACGACCCCUCUCUCUUGCCAAAGCAACCAGCAAGCCCCCCCUUGAUCACCAUAUAUCGCCAACUGUCCUCUAUACUGCUUGCAUUAGAGUAGUGUAGCAUGUUACUGCUUUCCGUUAAUCCUAUUCUGAUGCAUAGCCUGUCCUUGCUACUAUUGUUGUUACCUUUACCUGCAAUCCUAAUGCUUAGUAUAUGAUGCUAGUUUAUCAUCAGUGGCCAUACAUUCUUGUCCGUCUCCCAUGCUAUAUUAUCGGGCCGUGAUCACUCGGGAGGUGAUCACGGGUAUAUACUAUAUACUUUAUACAUGAUACAUGUGGUGACUAAAGACGGGUCGGCUUGUGGAGCACCCGCGAGUGAUUCACGGAUUGGGGGCUGAAAGGACCUUUGUCCCAACGGCCCUCUGUGUGGAUCUUUGUGGCGAAGCGACAGGGCAGGUUGAGACCACCUAGGAGAGAGGUGGGCCUGGCCCUGGUCGGCGUUCGCGAUUAUUUCAAAAUAACACGCUUAAUGAGAUCUUGGUAUUUGAUCUGAGUCUGACCACUGGCCUAUACGCACUAACCAUCUACGCGGGGACAGUUAUGGGCACUCGACGUCGUGGUAUCAGCCGAAGCCUUCGUGACGUCAGCGACUGAGUGGCGCGCGCCGGAUUGGACCGUAAGCCUGCUCUUGUAUUAAGGGGGCUAGUUCUGCUUCCGGCCGCGUUCGUAAUGUGCAGGUGUGCAAAGGGCGAUGGGCCCAGACCCCUGCGCCAUAGGAUUUAGACCGGCGUGCUGACCUCUCUGUUGUGCCUAGGUAGGGCUGCGACGUGUUGAUCUUCCGAGGCCGGGCAUGACCCAGAAAAGUGUGUCCGGCCAAAUGGGAUCGAGCGUGUUGGGUUAAGUGGUGCACCCCUGCAGGGAAGUUAAUCUAUUCGAAUAGCCGUGAUCUUCGGUAAUAGGACGACUUGGAGUUGUACCUUGACCUUAUGACAACUAGAACUGGAUACUUAAUAAAACACACCCUUCCAAGUGCCAGAUACAACCGGUGGUCGCUCUCUCACAGGGCGACGAGGGGAGGAUCAUCGGUUAGGGUUAUGCUAUGCGAUGCUACUUGGAGGACUUCAGUCUACUCUCUUCUACAUGCUGCAAGACGGAGGCUGCCAGAAGCGUAGUCUUCGACAGGAUUAGCUAUCCCCCUCUUAUUCUGGCAUUCUGCAGUUCAGUCCACCGAUAUGGCCUUUACACAUAUACCCAUGCAUAUGUAGUGUAGCUCCUUGCUUGCGAGUACUUUGGAUGAGUACUCACGGUUGCUUCUCCUUCUUUUCCUUCUAUCCCUUCUACCUGGUUGUCGCAACCAGAUGUUGGAGCCCAGGAUCCAGACGCCACCGUCGAUGAUGACUCCUACUACACCGGAGGUGCCUACUACUACGUGCUGCCCGCUGACGACGACCAGGAGUAGUUAGGAGGAUCCCAGGCAGGAGGCCUGCGCCUCUUCUGAUCUGUAUCCCAGUUUGCGCUAGCCUUCUUAAGGCAAAGUUGUUUAACUUAUGUCUGUACUCAGAUAUUGUUGCUUCCGCUGACUCGUCUAUGAUCGAGCUCUUGUAUUCGAGCCCUCGAGGCCCCUGGCUUGUAAUAUGAUGCUUGUAUGACUUAUUUUAUUUGUAGAGUUGUGUUGUGAUAUCUUCCCGUGAGUCCCUGAUCUUGAUCGUACACGUUUGCGUGUAUGUUUAGUGUACGGUCAAAUCGGGGGCGUCACAUUAGCUGCCAUCAAUUUCUUUGUGUCAUCUUCAUUUGGUGCCCAAAGAUAUUCGGGACCAAACACACGGACGAUCACUUCCGCAAAUCUACGCACAGCCCCAAUCGUGCUAUCUUCACCAAUGCGAAGAUACUCAUCGGCAUAGUCAGCCGGGACGCCAUAUGCAAUCACCUGCAUAGCUGCGGAGAUUUUUGAUAUGCACUAAAUCCCUUUAAGCCCGCGGCAUUCCUUCUCUGAGUGAAAUACCGGCAAUUUGCCUCGCAAGCUUCAACAAUUUUCACAAAAAGGGAUCGGCGCAUUCGGUACCUUCUGCGGAAGAGGUGUGCAGGAUAUGUAGGAUUCUCCGAAAAAUAAUCUUGCAUCAACAUCUUGUUUCCAAGGUGGCGAUUCCGCGGAAUGCACAGACGCCCGACAGUAGAUCCUCGCCUCCUCUUUCGGUACUCGUCUUCAUGCUCCUUCACGGCAAGCGCCAUGACCAAUGUUUGCUGCCGAAAAGUCGCAAGCAUGGUCUCCACAUCCGAGUCGUCCGAAUCGUCCGAAUCGGAUAGCAAGAACUUCUCGCACGGGGUCAACUCCAUCUACACGCACGCCGGCACGUCAAUCUACUACACAGCUCGCGAAAAUCAUAAAAAGGGGACUAACCGGUGGCGAGUGAUCCCGAGCGGCGACGAGGGUGGUGUGGUCAGCGGUGGUCGAUCCCAGCGGCGGCGACGACUAGGGGGCGACUCUUCUCGCUGAAUCCGAAGGGGCGGUGCAGCGGCUCGGCGCGGGAGGGUGUGGGGCGGCCGCGCGGAGCGAUUCCGCCCGCAGAUAUGGCCGGAAUCGCCGGCGGCGGCGGGCGGAAGCAAGGGCAGGCGGCGGCGGAAGGAAGGGGGAAAAGAGCGAGGGCUGAGAUGCCCCUCCCGCCAACUGUUUCUGUGUGAUGCAGGGCACCGCAGCCGCGAGGAGGAAACCCGCAUUUUUUCGGGUUGGAGCCGGAAAUUUGCCGCGCCUCUUAAAAUUUUUUGCGGACCGGGACGGGAUGCGGGGUCUGGUCGGACAGGCUUUCCGGCCCGCACCUGCAUUUUGACGGUUAUUUUACGGGUUAGGGACGGAUGCGGGGUCUACUAGAGUUGCUCUAAGCUCUAGAGAGAAGGCAUGAGAAACUACAAAAAUGAGCACGUUCAGUUCGGCCCAAAUUUUGAGCCCUUGCAGGUACCACACGAUCCACAGGCCCGCGGCAUUUUCCAUUUCAUUCUGAAGAUUGAACUGUGGCAAAAGCACUAAAUUAGUUUUUUUUAAAGCACUAGGUCGAGGUGUUCCACUCUGUUCCCGGGCUGACGCCUGACAGCGAUAAAGCUCACUCCUCCUCUCCGUCGACACUUGUUCGAGCGGCAAGUAAAGCAGCACUCCAUUAGCAUCCCCUUGCUCCGGCCGCCACGAAGCCUGCUUGCGGCGGUGGAUCACCAAACCCGUCGCAGUCUGUCUGUCUGUUUGUCCAUCCAUCCACCUAUCUUUUAGCGGCGUUUGUAUCCUCAGAGAACUGAUGCAGGCUAUACAUUUUACAAAUUAUUCUACAGUCAUCUGAGAAAGGUUCACUUAAAAUUCCUGCCAAAUGCGUCUACCAUUCUUUUCUUUUCCAGGCGUCAGUAAAUAGCUAGCUCAGUUCGAGAGGAAGGCGGAAACAGUUCUGGUUUUAUGAACCUGAUUCCUAUUCAUUUACCGGUAAACGAAGGAAUUCUUACCUAUUUCUCGAGGCAGUUAUACUCAUAUCAUCGACAGUAUGAACAGUAGGUCCAUCCAAUGGCUGCACCACUGCACAGUCCGCACUGCUGCUAGUAUGAGCAGCAAACAUCCUCACUUCCUCAGAGAAGAAGUUAAUGGCAUAUCUCCUCCUACAGAGCAAAGCAUGUUUGCCCACCGAACAACGACCUGGAGAUUGUGCGAGAUAAUCAAUCAUCCAGGGCAAAUCAUUUGGGAAUCAAGAAAAGGGAGCCGCUAGUGGAGCGGCAUUUGCAUCCAAUCAUGAAACCACGAGGAAUGGAAUUCAGUUUUUUCCUUCAAUAUCAACAAUUUAAUAUCCUGUCACAUCAAGCAACAAUAACAUAAGAUCCCUUGAUAGUUUCGACAGAAAGAUUCUGACUGGAAAUAGAUAGACACCUACUGUCUCCGUUUAAACACUUUUAUAUUUCUUUACAGAGAGGGUAUCUACAAAUUUACUGUUUUAAUUUUCCUUGAAGAUUCUUCAGACUUUGCUCGCACUGCCUCCAUCCCUCCAUGAUUGCUUGAUGGCGGAGGAGAAAAGGCAGGCAGUAGCAAGGAAUCUAGAGCUCCGCUGCACGACACAUCGGUGGUUUUUGCCAUUUGAAACCAGCGCCAUCCAAGAACAACGGCUUACAUCAUUCAGUGCAAGUUGGUGCAUAGCCAAAGGUUGGCCGGCGGCGAAAAUUAUGUUUGUUCAGUGGAAUUUUCUUGGUAUUUUGUCAUCAAUAAAGGUUGGAGUUUUGUUGUGUACAGCAUGCAAGCGCUUUAAUUAAUAGCGCUUUGGUUGCUAAGAAGAGAGAAAUGCACUGUACAACAACUUAUUUCUGCUAAUUGAGAUCCUGUUUAUUGCUGUCAUCAUAACGUACCGCAAAGACAGAGAAAAAAAAAUCAAACAAAUGUGUGUAGAACUGUUUUAGUAGGUGCGUGCAUCUCCUGGUCAUCAAAUUAGAGCUAUACAAUUGUGUUAGUUGCUCCAAAUUAAGUCCAAAUAAUGGACCUAAUCACAGCACACAGUAUAAUGGGGAUGUUUUUCUUUCAAUGAAUAGAAUGAGGAUGUCGAUAGGUCGUUAUCCGGGAAAAUACAAAUACUCCUGCCUGAGCACAAGAGACAUAUAUUCGGACGAAGAGACGUGUCGCUAGUUUUAUACUAGACAAUAAAAAUAGUUGCGGCCGGUACUCUACAUUUUCUUUGACAACGACCAAUUUAUGUAUCAAGAGGAUUUUUUUCAAUAAAUCAGACAAAAAAAAAAGUCAAUUAUGCUUGAAGUUGUGAAACUGCUAGUACCGAAAUUCAAGCGGGCGAAUGCCUGGAGGGUAGCCCAUGAUAUUGCUAAGUUCUAUUUUAUAUUUUUGUAAAAACGGAACAUUUAAUCAUUCGUGAAAUUCCGUUUGGUGCUAUUAUUUUUCUUGAUUAAUAUACGGGUCUUCAAACAAAAGCACAGUAUAAUAUAUGUAAGUUUUAACCAUGAUUGAAAUAGUUGAGGUUCACAAAUCUUCUGGUAUUUUUUUGUUGGCAAUAUAUAAAUCUACAAUCUAAAAAAAAUUAAUGUAAACUCGAUCCACACCCAAAGGAAAAGGACAAAUUUCAUUGUGCCUAACAUCACAUUUGAAAGAGCCCUGCUAUGCAUAACCUCCAUUCCGAUUUUUAUACAACACCAUCAUUGGGAAUGUAGGGUAGUUUGUCAUUCCAAAUUUGCACUGAAUACGAUACACCUCCAUUGGUGCGUGGAACGGGAAUACAUCCGACCAUUGGAUUUAGCAUCGUACACAUAUCGGACCACGAUAUCUCGUACGCACGGUAGUUUGACAUUCAAAAUUUGCCCUGAUAGUAAAUGGAGCUGCCAUUCGCAUCAUGUUUGUCCUUUUCAAUUUCUUGAUUGACGAAGUGUGGAUUAAAUCUUGUAGUACCAAUCAGACACAUAGUGACAUAAUGUGACUUCGAUUCAAACCAUUUUAUUGGUGGUAGAAUAUUGGUGUAGACCAAUAUAGCAUAGAGCAUCGAUGUAUCGUAGAGCCAUAGACGCAGUCAAGCCACCAAGACAGAAAUCCGCGUCCGUCCAUCCCGAUCAUCGUUUCCUCCCGACUAAAAAUUUUCCCCUCCGUCACUUACUAUGCAUAAUUGACUUUUUUUUGGUCUGAUUGAUUGAAAAAAUCCUCGAUGCAGUUGGGCUACUGUUUCUGAGCGAUCUUUCAAAAUCCCGUGAAACUCGUACGGUGGCCGGAAAGAAGAGAUUUUUUUGGGUUCGAGCACCAGUUAAAGUAGCGAGGAGGAGGCCACUAGCCCCGGUCUCUGUUUGUCUUCUCCCUCCACCACCACCCUCCCCCUCCCCCCCCUCCCCCUCGCCGAGUCGCCGUCCCCUCGCUUUCACCCCCCCGGACGGAAGCAAGAAUUCCUCGCAAGAAUCCGACCCCGGGCCGAUUUGGGUGGAUUCCGUGCGGCCCUUUCUGCGCCAUGGACUUCUGAUCCGGGGCCUCUCGGAUCUUGGGAGGAGGAAGGUGGGUGGUGGGCGGUGGGCGGUGAGCCGGCCCGGAGAUGGCCGGCGGGAAGGAGCCGAUCGAGGUCAAGUUCCGGCUCUUCGACGGCACGGACAUCGGCCCCAGCAAGUACGACCCCGCCACCACCGUCUCCGCGCUCAAGGACUUCAUCCUCGCCCGGUGGCCGCAAGGUGAGACGCAGAUUCCCUCCGCUCGAUUUGGCCGGCCUCCUGAUCCGCUUGCUUGAGUCGGUGACGGGAAAAGAUGCGCGCGUCUGUAGCUCCUGCUGCCACGAAGUUUCGGCCUUCGGGGAUCAUGUAUAGCUUUUAUUUUUCUAUUUUUAUGGUUGUUGCGUGGUGCUCGCGCAGUUCUAGCCUUGCUCGCGGCAGAUACGUGUUGUUGGUGUGCCUGAUUAGUUGUUCUUCUCUCGAGUAACACAUGACUGCGGCAUCAUUUCCCACCUCCCCUCGGCUUCAACACUGCUUUAGAACUGGGUAAACUAUAUAAACGGCCAGUUGAUAAUUCCCCUUCUCAGUUUAUGUGUAUGCAUACCUAUAGAAAAACUCUCACGGACAGUGAGUACUGUCAAAAUGGUACUAUGAUUUUGCCAAAGUUUGUGGCAGAAUUCCGGGAAGAUCAAUUUUUUGGCAACAAUCGAACGAAGGGACAAUCAGGGGACAAAUAAGUCCCUAUGGAGAUGCAGAGAAGCCGCGGUGUGACUUUAGAGUGCCUGUUUGUUCUCUUGCAUUCUGCGAACAGAAUUGAGCUAGCAAUAUAUAAGCAGUUGUCUCUCCAUCUUUACACGAACCGAGGUCCUUUGCAUGAAUAUGAUAGCAGGGCCAUUCUCCAUAGGAUUCAUUAUGCCUAACGAUCUGUUCAAAGUUAUCCGAUUAUACACUAGGGAGUGAAUGACUAGAACAAGUAAAAUUGAAUCCUUUCCGAGCUGAAUUAGCUCCCAGAAACAAUCGGUUCAUGGUGUGGGUACUUAUUAACCCGAACAUAUGGAAGCUAAUCACAACCAUCAUUGUAUGUCAUCUUUCUGUGGGAUGUUUGAAUUUAUUCUGAUUUUCCCAGGGCUUAAUUUGCAUUCUGACUCGCAAUAGUGCAAUGGCAUGUUUUCUCUUCUUUCUAAGGCACCUUGCUUGAUUUUGAUUUUGACUUCGAAUUUAUGUGGAUUGGUUCUUUUGUAAACUCGCUCCAUAAUCUGAACAUGUUAUGCUUACCGGAAUCCUAGUUUAUUUUAUUUAAAGGAAUUGUUCUUGUCAUUUCUGAUGACAGAUAAGGAAAUAACUCCAAAAACUGUCAAUGACCUGAAGCUCAUCAAUGGUGGAAAGAUAUUGGAGAAUAACCGGACACUUGCCGAGUCGCGUGUUACAAUAGGAGAGGUCCCUGGAGGUGUAAUUACAAUGCAUGUGGUAGUGCGCCCUCCACAAGUUGACAAAAACCGUGGUAUUGCCGACAAUUUUACGCCUUUUCUUUCACAUUGUGUUCCUGGUUCUGUAAUGAUCUCUUACAUUCUGUUACAUUCAAUGAAUGAAAAUUGUUGGAUACAAUCAACUAUCGUUUUAGAUUCUAUGCUUCAGAAAUCCACACGUAUAGGCAUGAAUCUGUAUAAUCCAAAUGCUGCAGCCUGCAAGACGAACCCACUUAUUUCCAUGGAGUGAAAUUUAUUACUUCCAUUUUAUUAUUUCCAUGGAGUGAAAAUUGUUGAUCACACCAUAUUUUUAGUCGGAAAUUCUGUUCGAACUCUGUCCUGAGCCAGUGUUCCGUACUUAGAUAGAAGCACAAAUAAACAGUGACUAAACAGCACAUGGUAUUAUGAAGAUUUAGUGGUACUGAUAGUUUUUUCAGUCCUUUAGUGAUUUAGGGAGUUCUGCCAAAUUGGCUAAAUUUGUUUUUGCAUGUUCGGAAUUUGAAAAGUAUAAUUACAAGAGUGAUGUUGUCACAUCCGUGGGCCAGUCAUGUGAAAAUUAAAGAUUUCGCUAUAAAUCAAAUGUCAGAUUUUUUUAGCAUGACAAAUUGAACGCCCAAGAUGGCAAAUUAUGUUGUCAUGAGGAUGGCAUUUUCCUUUAACAAACAUGACAAAUCCUUGCCAUGUUCAGUAUUUUGCCAGGAAUUGCCAUGCUUGCUAAAGGAAUUUGCCAUCCUCGCGACAACAUAAUUUGCCAUGCUUAAAAAUCUGACGUCAGAUUUGUAGCAUUCCCGACUAUUUAUCUAUGGAAAGGAGAGAGAGAAUAAUGAAUACCAACAAAAAGCAUAUGUUACAAAAUCUGUUUAGAGAUAUAGCUAAGGGGGUUUAAUGGACUUAUAUCCUUCGUUUUGCAACUGUUGAGACAGUAAUGAUGUUGUAAGUACAAAGUGCAUUAGGUAUCUAUCUGGUCACGCAUGGAUUACUAUAUGCAAAAUAGUUGGUUUUACCAUAUCAUUGCAAUUAUGUGAUGCUUAAAACUGCCACACAAUUUAUCAACGCUUCUAAACAACCUAUAAUUUUGCUUUCUUGGAUUUGUUCUUUUCAGAGAAGCAGCUGGGCAAUUCCCCCAAGCAGAACAGAUGCGGAUGCACCAUACUGUGAUACGGCACCCCCCUGGUGAUGUUCGAUGCACCUAGCUGUAGAAUUUCUCUUAUGCUUUUGUUGCGUCCACGGCGCGGUGUGUAUUCAUUUUGACAUCCAGUUCCUGGAGCCAUUGAAACUCGAUCUGGAAACUGGCUGGGAGUAAAGGUUCCUCCUUGGGAUGUUGCUGCUGUAGCAAGUGUGUGCAGGAGUCAAGGAAUGGAUUGGAUGCUUGCUGUUGUGUAAAUUGUAAUGUGGAAACAACCAUCUUUUCAUUUUUCCUUUGGCCAUGUUUGACAUUAUAUCGAUUCUUUUUAGCGCUGCUGUUUGCCAUGUAAAACAGAUAUAUUGUACCAUUGGAAUAUAUAUACGGUUUUGCUAAACAUCUGGUACCUGAAAGAAUCACUUUUUCUAGGGUAGCACGAGGCCGAAGGCGGUG
Molecule: long non-coding RNA, 72964 nt
Filed under: Triticum aestivum (bread wheat)
Lineage: Eukaryota; Viridiplantae; Streptophyta; Magnoliopsida; Poales; Poaceae
Description: long non-coding RNA (TAES_LNC010678)
Source: RNAcentral